UUUCAACCAACACAGAGAGCUCCUCUCCAAACCUCUCCCUUCUCUCCACCAGGAGACUAGGGUUAGAGAGAGAGAGAGAGUGAGACAAGAGCAAAAACAAUCUCUCGCCCCACUGUUAUACCAAGUUUGCAUCCAUCUCAUAUCCCUCUAUAUAUCUUUGUAUCACGAUGGCAGGCCUAUCCCUAGAGCACCCUUGGGCAUUCGCCUUCGGCCUCCUAGGUAUAUACUAUUCAGUACAAAAGAUUAUUUCCUCGAAUUACCCCUUGUAUUAUGUUAGUUUCUUGUUUACAACAGCUAUUUGCUAGUGCAGUACUAGUAGACUACUUUGUGUCAUUAAAGAUCGGCCUUUUGCAACAUCGAUCUAUAUAUCUUAUUUUUGCUUGCCACUUGCCACUGAUUGAUUGAUGAAUUGAUGUAGCCUAGUACUAGCUCUAGUGACAUCUAGCUCGGUGCACCAUGAACCCAUAAAGAAACAACAACAAAGCAAAUUGCAUAUGUUUUUUCUCAAAGGAUAAAGCGUAUAAAAGAAAGAUGUAAGUGUGCCCAGCAAUUAUCACAACUCAUCGCUAACUUUCCUACCAUGCUAACUUUGUGCCGUGCAGGCAACAUCAUCUCUUUCACAAGCCUCCUGGCCCCCAUGUAAGCGACAGUCUCUGUUUUCUUCAUAUGAUUGAUCAUAUCAAUAUGUCCUCCGAUAACUUGUCUGCACAUAAUAAAUUUAUCAGACCAACAUUCUACCGGAUCUUCAAGAGCAAAUCCACGGAGGGGUUCCAGUCGGUGCCCUACGUCGUGGCCCUGUUCAGCGCGAUGCUGUGGAUCUUCUACGCGCUGGUGAAGACUGGUGAGGGCCUCCUCAUCACCAUCAACGCUGCCGGCUGCGUCAUCGAGACCGUCUACAUCGUCAUGUACCUCGUCUACGCCCCCACGAAGGCCAAGAUUUUCACAGCCAAGAUCGUCCUCCUACUCAACAUCGCCAGCUUCGGGCUCAUCCUCCUCCUCACCCUCUUUGCCUUCCACGGCGAGACACGCGUCGUCUCGCUCGGCUGGAUCUGCGUCGGCUUCUCCGUUUGUGUCUUCGUCGCCCCUCUCAGCAUCAUCGUGAGUCAUCGACAGAUAAACUUUGUUGUAUAUAUUGUUGCUCAUGGCGCAACCUUUUGUACGUGUUAACUAACUGUAUGUGUCAUGUCCUUUCCCCAGGGACGAGUCAUCAAGACCAAGAGUGUGGAGUACAUGCCCUUCUCCCUCUCCCUCACGCUCACCCUCAGCGCCGUCGUCUGGUUCCUCUACGGCCUACUCAUCAAGGACAAAUAGGUCGCGGUAAUUAAAACAUCAUCCAAUCCUUCUGUUAAUUUUCCGAUAGAUACGCAUUCCAUUCUCAAGCAUUUGCACUGACGAGUGACAAUUAACGUUUUAUUUGCAGCUCCCAAACAUCCUUGGCUUCACCUUCGGGAUGAUCCAGAUGGCCCUUUACAUGUUCUACAUGAACGCGACACCGGCAGUGAGCAAUCUCAAGGAGGGGAAAGAGGGAUUGAAGAAGCCAGCGGAGGAGCACGUUGUCGUAAUCAACGUUGGUAAGAUCGAAAAGAGCUCCGGCGCUGUGGUUCGCCCGGUCACCGAGAUGCACAACGCCAUCCCCAGCAGAUGCGCUGCUGAGGCGGCGGCACCAGGGCAACAAGUGAUGGCGCUGGACUAUGCCCGUUCCGUCGACGUGGUCUAGAUUUACGCAUGCAGGGCUUGCAUGAUGCCUCUGUUCUGUUAAAUCAACUUCUUGAUUGUAUGAGGCACGAUAUUUGUUAACGAGACCGACAUGGCUAUAUCCUAGGGCAAAGGCAACUGGCGCUCCUCUCCAAGACACCCCAACACUGGCCACGCGGGCGCUGGCACACGCCGCCAGCUCCUCCGUGUAUUUAUUGUAUCAAUUUGUUGUGAGUUAAAAGUAUGGUGCCCCCUCCUCAUCAUUAUAUAAGAGGCCUAGAAUACAACGUGUUUGACUCCAGCACAAACUCGUAUCCAUCCACAUCAAUUACAGCUCCAAAUUCAUGUAAUCCUUUGGCUACAAUAUUCCACACAAAUAUAAAAAAUUGGGAACAGGGACAUUUUCUGAAAUUCUUAAAAAAUGGAAGACCGAACAUCUUCUGAAAAUGCACACAGUUUUAAUUUACUUUUUCUUGAAAAUGGGAAUAUUUUUCCGAAAUUUUAAAAAGUAUAAUAAAAACGCAAACAUUUUGUUUUUACAUUUCGAAUAAUAUUUGAACACUCAUUUAAAAAAAUGAACUUGAAGUUAAAGAAAAGGCAUCGAGAUACCAGGGAAAAUUCAGUUAAUAAACCUUCCAUAAGGUUCCGAAAAUUGGAUAAAAUAGAAAAUAAAAUUAGUUCAUGAACCUUCCAAAAGGUUCCCAAAACAAGUUAAACCAGGCAGAAACCUCCUAGAAGGUUCCCAAAAUUGGAACGAAUGAGAACAAUUUAAAUGGGCCAGACAUAUAAACCCUGUUGUUUUGUCGACCGUUCAACGUAACAAACGUCUAGACGUCUAGUAGGACUCUCGAAACUCCCCCUUUGCUCCUUAGGCCCCCGAAAGAAAAGUUGGCACUCACGUCCAUCAUAGUGUUCCACAUCCCAAGUGGAGUAGCUCGCUCGUGAUCACUACUCCCAAGGAGCUCUUUUUUCACUAAAAAAACAGUAGCUUAGUGUUCUUUUUUUCAUUUGCUCGUUUUUUCUCGGUUUUCUCUUCUGCUAUUGUUUUAUUCACCAAAAAACACUAGUUGCUGGUUUUAAAUUCAAGAAAAUAUUCAUAAUUUCAAAAUAAGUUUAAGAGUUUACGAAAAGUUCAUGAUUUUGAAAAACAAUCACGGAUUUUAAAAGAAAUCAUGAAAUUAAAAAAUCUUGAAUUUUUAAAGAUGUUCCUGAAUUUGGAAAACAUUACUGGAUUAAAUCAUAAAUUUAAAAAAAGCCCAUGAAUUUGAAAAAUCUGCAGAUAUUUGGAAAAUGGGACAACUGGGAGCUGAAUUGGGAGUUGUGUACCAAAUGGCCUCUAGCAAGAUUUGGCUACUAAUAGCUUUUUAAGUAGAGGUAGUUGCUAAAAUAAAAUAGUUAAGUGUUGUCAACUAGCAGACUGAAUUGGGGGGGAUGACGUUCACGCAUUGUGGAGGGAAGGCCAAUGAGGGAGGUGAUAUCUAACCUCAGGUUUGUGAGCUAGUGAACCCACUAAUUUUAUUAGUGCAACUUGAAAGUGUAACGAGCCUUCAAAUUCAGUUUUGAUAAUAAAGAUAUAUGAUUUCUAGACUAGUGGUUUCUAUACCCUAAUCAUUUUUUGAAACAAUACUACCAUUUAUUUUAUAAGUAACAGAGUCAUCUUCCCUACAAAACCAGAGUUGAGUUUAUAGAUGUAUAAUUUCUAACUUUGUGAAAAAUUCGAUGCAAUUCCCUAAAUUACUUGGGUGCCAAAAUACCUUUACCUCCACAAUUCGGACUUGGUGCAGACAAUUAUGACAUUACAUUCAAUUUCGGCCCCUGACAAAAAAAUAAAACUAGGUCAAUAUCUUCUAAAUUCAGUAGACUUUGAUGUAAAAUUUAUAUCUUGGGAAAUUUUAAACCCUUGUGAGAUUCGGACUGCGCUUCGGUGCCUUAAGGCACAUCCUUUGUGCCUAUGACAUGUGGGUCCAACCGGUGGCUGGCCCACAUGUCAAGGACACAAAGGCAGGUGCCUUUAAGGCACUGAAGCUGCGUCCGUGAGAUCCGCAUGUAGGUAUGUACGAUGCGCUUUUUCAGGAGGAGGGCGGGUCGGUCGGAGAGGCAAACAAGAGAGGUCAUGUGAUAGGGACCAGGACCAUACUAUGGGAACAUGGAAGUCCCAUGAGAUGGCGGCGGCGCAGCCGGUGUCAUUAACUGGAAUCAGAGAAUUUGCCAUCAGUCGGUUCUUCACCGUCUCCUAGCUGACGGUGAAGACAUGAUGGUAAAUCCGCAAUUUGCCAUCAGCUUUAUCUUUGUCGUCGCUAGAAGACUGCAAAGAGGUGAGAGUGGGGUCCAGUGGAGGCCAGUUUAUUGCAACGACCUACCACACCUAUUUGCCGUCUGCUAGCAGAUGCAAUAAGCCGGCCUCCACUGGACCUCACUCCCACCUCAUUGCCGUCUGCUAGCGGACGACAAAGUUUCUUUGCCGUCCGCUAGCAGACGACAAACUAGCCACUACCUAACGGCCCGUUACCCACCCUCUCUCUCUCUCUCUCUCUNNNNNNNNNNNNNNNNNNNNNNNNNNNNNNNNNNNNNNNNNNNNNNNNNNNNNNNNNNNNNNNNNNNNNNNNNNNNNNNNNNNNNNNNNNNNNNNNNNNNNNNNNNNNNNNNNNNNNNNNNNNNNNNNNNNNNNNNNNNNNNNNNNNNNNNNNNNNNNNNNNNNNNNNNNNNNNNNNNNNNNNNNNNNNNNNNNNNNNNNNNNNNNNNNNNNNNNNNNNNNNNNNNNNNNNNNNNNNNNNNNNNNNNNNNNNNNNNNNNNNNNNNNNNNNNNNNNNNNNNNNNNNNNNNNNNNNNNNNNNNNNNNNNNNNNNNNNNNNNNNNNNNNNNNNNNNNNNNNNNNNNNNNNNNNNNNNNNNNNNNNNNNNNNNNNNNNNNNNNNNNNNNNNNNNNNNNNNNNNNNNNNNNNNNNNNNNNNNNNNNNNNNNNNNNNNNNNNNNNNNNNNNNNNNNNNNNNNNNNNNNNNNNNNNNNNNNNNNCACCGCUACCGCCCUCGAUCCAACGCCGCCCCCGACCCCACACCGACCCGGCCUACAGCUUCGACCCCACGCCGCCGCCGCCGCCUGAUACGUCCAUUUUGCAUCAUGCUUUUAUAUCGAUAUUUAUUGCAUUAUGGGUUGUUAUUUCACGUUAUGUCACAAUACUUAUGGCUAUUCUCUCUUAUUUUACAAGGUUUACAUGAAGAGGGAGAAUGCCGGCAGCUGGAAUUCUGUGCUGGAAAAGGAGCAAAUAUUGGAGGCCUAUUCUGCGCAACUCCAAAAGUCCUGAAACUCCACGGAAUAUCUUAAAAUAAAUAAAGAAAAAUCAUCGCCAAAGAUGAAGGCCAGGGGCCCCACACCGUGCUCACAAGGGUGGGGGGCGCCCCCCUGGUGGCUCUCCGACGCCCAUCUUCUCCUAUAUGAAGUCUUUCCAUGAGAAAAAAUACAAGGCAACCGAUGAGACUCUGCCGCCACGAGGCAGAACCUUGGUGGAACCAAUCUAGGGCUCCGGCAGAGCUGUUCUGCCGGGGACACUUCCCUCCGGGAGGGGGAAAUCAUCACCAUCGUCAUCACCAACGCUCCUCUCAUCGGGAGAGGGCAAUCUCCAUCAACAUCUUCACCAGCACCAUCUCAUCUCCAAACCCUAGUUCAUCUCUUGUAUCCAAUUCUUGUCUCCAUGUCCGGGAUUGGUGCUAGUAGGUUGCUAGUAGUGUUGAUUACUCCUUGUAGUUGAUGCUAGUUGGUUUAUUUGGUGGAAGAUCAUAUGUUCAGAUCCUUUAUGCACAUUAUUAUCCCUCUGAUUAUGAACAUGAAUAUGCUUUGGGAGUAGUUACGUUCGUUCCUGAGGACAAGGGAGAAGUCUUGUUAUUAGUAUUCAUGUGAAUUUGGUAUUCGUUCGAUAUUUUGAUAAGGUGUAUGUUGUCUAGCCUCUAGUGGUGUUAUGUGAACGUCGACUACAUAACACUUCACCAUUAUUUGGGCCUAGAGGAAGGCAUUGGGAAGUAAUAAGUAGAUGAUGGGUUGCUAGAGUGACAGAAGCUUAAACCCUAGUUUAUGCGUUGCUUCGUAAGUGGCUGAUUUGGAUCCAUAUGUUUCAUGCUAUGGUUAGGUUUACCUUAAUACUUUUGUUGUACUUGCGGAUGCUUGCAAUAGAGGUUAAUCAUAAGUGGUAUGCUUGUUCAAGUAAGAACAGCACCCAAGCACCGGUCCACCCACAUAUCAAAUUAUCAAAGUACCGAACGCGAAUCAUAUGAGUGUGAUGAAAACUAGCUUGACGAUAUUCCCAUGUGUCCUCGGGAGCGCUUUUCCUAUUAUAAGAGUUUGUCCAGGCUUGUCCUUUGCUACAAAAAGGAUUGGGCCACCUUGCUGCCCUUUAUUUACUUUUGUUACUUGUUGCUCGUUACAAUUUAUCUUAUCACAAAACUAUCUGUUACCACUUAUUUCAGUACUUGCAGAGAAUACCUUGCUAAAAACCGCUUAUCAUUUCCUUCUGCUCCUCGUUGGGUUCGACACUCUUACUUAUAGAAAGGACUACGAUAGAUCCCCUAUACUUGUGGGUCAUCAAGACUCUUUUCUGGCGCCGUUGCCGGGGAGUGAAGCGCCUUUGGUAGGUUGAAUUUGGUAAGGAAAAAUUUAUAUAGUGUGCUGAAACUUUCUGUCACUUGUUACUAUGGAAAGUAAUUGUCUGAGGGGCUUGUUCGGGGUAUCUUCACCCCGUCCAGUAGAGCAAAGAGUUGCUCCUCAACCCACUCGACCUACUGAACCUAUUGAAAAUGAAACUCCUUUUGAGAUUCCUUCGGGUUUGAUGGAAAAACUGCUAGCUAACACUUUUACAGGAGAUGGAACAAAGCAUCCUGAUGAACAUCUACGCUAUGUGGUUGAUGUUUGUGGACUAUUUAAGCUUGCAGGUAUACCCGAUGAUGUUGUUAAGAAGAAUACCUUCCCUUUAUCUUUGAAGGGAGACGCAUUGACAUGGUACAGGCUAUGUGAUGAUAUGAGAUCAUGGAACUAUAAAAGAUUGAAAUUGGAAUUCAUCAAAAGUAUUACCCUAUGCAUCUUGUUCAUCGUGAUCGCAAUUAUAUAUAUAAUUUUUGGCCUCGCGAAGGAGAAAUCAUCGCUCAAGCUUGGGGGAGGCUUAAAUCAAUGUUAUAUUCAUGCCCCAAUCAUGAGCUCGCAAGAGAAGUGAUUAUGCAAAGUUUUUAUGCUCGGCUUUCUGAUAACAAUCGCACCAUGCUCGAUACUUCUUGUGCUGGCUCUUUUAUGAUGAAGACUAUUGAAUUUAGAUGGAAUUUAUUGGAUAGAAUUAAACGCAACUCUGAAGAUUGGGACCUCGAUGAAGGUAAGGAGUCAGGUAUGACACCUAAGUUUGAUUGUGUUAAAUCUUUUAUGGACACUGAUAUUUUCCGUAAGUUUAGCACUAAAUAUGGACUUGACUCUGAGAUAAUAGCUUCUUUCUGUGAAUCUUUUGCUACUUAUGUUGCUCUCCCCAAGGAGAAGUGGUUUAAAUAUCAUCCUCCCAUAGAAGUAAAAGUAGCUGCACCUAUUAAAGUUGAAGAAAAGACUGUCACGUAUAAUGAUCCUAUUGUUUCCACUUCUUAUGUUGAGAAACCACCUUUCCCCGUUAGAAUGAAGGAUCAUGCUAAAGCUUCAAUUGUUGUGCAUAAAAGCGAUAUUAGAACUUAUACACAUCCUGAGCAAAUCAAAGUAGAACCCACUAUUGCUAUUGUUAAAGAUCUCUUGUCUGAUAAUAUUGAUGGGCAUGUUAUUCAAUUCUGUGGUGAAACUGCCAGAAUUGCUAAACCUUGUGAUAGAGAUAAACAUAGACCUGUGUUAGGCAUGCCUAUUAUUUCUAUUAAAAUAAGAGAUCAUUGUUAUCAUGGCUUGUGUGAUAUGGGUGCUAGUGCUAGUGUUAUACCCAUUAACUUAUACAAAGAAAUUAUGCAUGAUAUUGCACCUGCUGAGUUAGAAGAUAUUGAUGUUACAAUUAAACUUGCCAAUAGAGAUACUAUAUCUGCAAUUGGAAUUGUUAGAGAUGUUGAAGUCUUGUGUGGAAAAACCAAAUAUCCCGCUGAUUUUCUUGUUCUUGGUUCUCCACAAGAUAGCUUUUGUCCCAUUAUAUUUGGUAGACCCUUCUUGAAUACUGUUAAUGCUACGAUAGACUGUAAAAAGGAUGUUGUUACUGUUGGCUUGGAUGAUAUGGUUCAUGAGUUUAAUUUCUCUAAAUUUAGUAAACAACAUCGUGAGGAAGAAUUGCCUAGUAAGGAUGAGAUUAUUGGUCUUGCUUCUAUUGCCGUGCCUCCUAGUGAUCAUUUAGAACAAUAUUUGCUAGACCAUGAAAAUGAUAUGUUCAUGAAUGAGAGAAGAGAAAUAGAUGAAGUAUUGUUUAAACAGGAACCUAUUCUGCAACACAAUUUACCUGUUGAAAUCCUAGGGGAUCCUCCUCCACCCAAGGGUGAUCCCUUGUUUGAGCUUAAACCGUUGCCUGAUAAUCUUUAAUAUGGUUAUCUUGAUGAAAAGAAAAUAUAUCCUGUCAUUAUUAGUGCUAACCUUUCAGAGUAUGAAGAAGAAAGAUUAUUGAAAACUCUGAAAAAGCACCGUGCUACUAUUGGAUAUACUUUGGAUGUUCUUAAGGGCAUCAGUCCCACUCUAUGUCAACAUAAAAUAAAUUUGGAAGCUGAUGCCAAACCAGUUUGUGAUCCUCAACGAUGUUUGAAUCCUAAAAUGAAAGAAGUGGUAAGAAAGGAAAUACUCAAGCUUCUGGAGGCAGGUAUAAUUUAUCCCGUUGCUGAUAGUCAGUGGGUAAGUCCUGUCCAUUGUGUCCCUAAGAAGGGAGGUAUUACUGUUGUCCCUAAUGAUAAAGAUGAAUUGAUUCCACAAAGAAUCAUCACAGUUUAUAGGAUGGUAAUUGAUUUACGCAAAUUAAAUAAGGCUACUAAGAAAGAUCAUUACCCCUUACCUUUUAUUGAUCAAAUGCUAGAAAGAUUAUGCAAACAUACACACUAUUGCUUUCUAGAUGGUUAUUCUGGUUUCUCUCAAAUACCUGUGUCGGCUAAAGAUCAAUCAAAGACUACUUUUACAUGCCCUUUUGGUACUUUUGCUUAUAGACGUAUGCCUUUUGGUUUAUGUAAUGCACCUGCUACCUUUCAAAGAUGCAUGAUGGCUAUAUUCUCUGACUUUUGCGAAAAGAUUUGUGAGGUUUUCAUGGACGACUUUUCCGUUUAUGGUUCCUCUUUUGAUGAUUGCUUGAGCAAUCUUGCCCGAGUUUUGCAGAGAUGUGAAGAAACUAAUCUUGUCUUGAAUUGGGAAAAGUGCCACUUUAUGGUUAAUGAAGGUAUUUUCUUGGGCACAAAGUUUCUGAAAGAGGUAUUGAAGUUGAUAAAGCCAAGGUUGAUGCUAUUGAAAAGAUGCCAUGUCCCAAGGACAUCAAAGGUAUAAGAAGUUUCCUUGGUCACGCGGAUUUUAUAGGAGGUUCAUUAAGGACUUCUCAAAAAUCUCUCGGCUUCUGACUAAUUUAUUACAAAAAGAUGUACCAUUUGUCUUUGAUGAUGAUUGUGUAGAAGCAUUUGAAAUACUUAAGAAAGCAUUAGUCUCUGCACCUGUUGUUCAGCCACCUGAUUGGAAUCUACCCUUUGAAAUUGUGUGUGAUGCUAGUGAUUAUGCUGUAGGUGUUGUUCUAGGGCAAAGAGUUGAUAAGAAAUUAAAUGUUAUCCAUUAUGCUAGUAAGACUCUAGACAAUGCCCAAAGAAAUUAUGCUACUACCGAAAAGGAACUUUUAGCAGUUGUGUUUGCUUGUGAUAAGUUUAGACCUUAUAUUGUUGAUUCCAAAGUUACUAUUCACACUGAUCAUGCUGCUAUUAAAUAUCUUAUGGAAAAGAAAGAUGCAAAACCUAGACUCAUUAGAUGGGUUCUCCUGCUGCAAGAAUUUGAUUUACAUAUUGUUGAUAGAAAGGGAGCUGAGAACCCCGUUGCAGACAACUUGUCUAGGUUAGAGAAUGUUCUUGAUGACCCACUACCUAUUGAUGAUAGCUUUCCUGAUGAACAAUUAAAUGCCAUAAGCACUUCUCGUAGCACUCCAUGGUAUGCUGAUUAUGCUAAUUAUAUUGUUGCUAAAUUUAUACCACCUAGCUUCACAUACCAACAAAAGAAAAAGUUUUUCUAUGACUUGCGACAUUACUUUUGGGAUGACCCACAUCUUUAUAAAGAAGGAGUAGAUGGUGUUAUUAGACGUUGUGUACCUGAGCAUGAACAGGAACAGAUCCUACACCAGUGUCACUCCAAAGCUUAUGGAGGACACCACGCUGGAGAUAGAACUGCACAUAAGGUAUUGCAAUCCGGUUUUUAUUGGCCUACUCUCUUCAAGGAUGCACGUAAGUUUGUUUUGUCUUGCGAUGAAUGUUAAAGAAUUGGUAAUAUUAGUAGACGUCAAGAAAUGCCUAUGAAUUAUUCACUUGUUAUUGAACCAUUUGAUGUUUGGGGCUUUGAUUAUAUGGGACCUUUUCCUGCCUCUAAUGGAUAUACUCAUAUUUUAGUUGUUGUUGAUUACGUUACUAAGUGGGUAGAAGCUAUUCCAACUAGUAGUGCUGAUCAUAACACUUCUAUUAAAAUGCUUAAGGAAGUUAUUUUUCCGAGGUUUGGAGUCCCUAGAUAUUUAAUGACUGAUGGUGGUUCACAUUUGAUUCAUGGUGCUUUCCGUAAGAUGCUUGCUAAAUAUGACAUUAAUCAUAGAAUUGCAUCUCCAUAUCACCCGCAGUCUAGUGGUCAGGUAGAAUUGAGCAAUAGAGAGCUCAAAUUAAUUUUGCAAAAGACUGUCAAUAGGUCUAGAAAGAAUUGGUCCAAGAAACUUGAUGAUGCAUUAUGGGCCUAUAGAACUGCAUAUAAGAAUCCUAUGGGUAUGUCUCCGUAUAAAAUGGUUUAUGGAAAAGCUUGUCACUUACCGCUCGAACUAGAACCUAAGGCAUAUUGGGCUAUUAAAGAUCUCAACUACGAUUUCAAACUUGCCGGUGAGAAGAGGUUAUUUGAUAUUAGCUCACUUGAUGAAUGGAGAACCCAAGCUUAUGAAAAUGACAAGUUGUUUAAAGAAAAAGUUAAAAUAUGGCAUGACAAAAGGAUACAAAAGCGUGAGUUUAAUGUAGGUGAUUAUGUAUUGCUAUACAACUCUCGUUUAAGAUUUUUUACAGGAAAACUUAUCUCCAAAUGGGAAGGUCCCUACGUUAUCGAGGAGGUCUAUCGUUCCGGUGCCAUAAAAAUAAACAACUUUGCAGGCACAAAUCUGAAGGUGGUAAACGGUCAAAGGAUUAAACACUAUAUUUCAGGUAAUCCCAUAAAUGUUGAAACUAAUAUUAUUGAAACCGUAACCCCGGAGGAAUACAUAAAGGACACUUUCCAGAAUGUUCCAGACUCCGAAAAGGAAUAGGUAUGUGGUACGGUAAGUAAACCGACUCCAAAACAAUUUUUAAGGAAAUAUUUAUCUAUUUUGGAAUAUUUAAAAAAUAGAAAAAUAAGUAGCAGUCCGGGGAGGACACGAGGCCUCCACGAGGGUGGAGGGUGCGCCCUACCCCCCUGGGUGCGCCCCCCUACCUCGUGAGCACCUCGUGUGCCCUCGGGACUCCGUUUCCUUGCACGAUACAUAUUCUGGUAGUUAAAAAUUCAUUAUAUAUACUCCCGAAGGUUUUGACUCUCGUAUCACGCAAAUAUCCUCUGUUUUCGUUUCGAGCUGUUCCUGCUGCAGAUUUGAACAAGAUGUUGUCCCAAGAUUCGGAGGGAGAGAGCUACAUAGCUGAUUAUAUUGCAAAUCCAAGAGUAUAUGGGGACGUGGAACACUAUGGCUGGACCACGGAAGAAGAAGAAGACUAUGAUCCAAAGAGGAAGGAGGAGACAAGCUCUGAUGAAGAGGACUACCCACUGCCUCAACCUGGUGAUAUGCAUGUGGAGUUCAAGAAGUCAAGCCUCCCUAAGGUCCAAUCUAUCCCACCAUGUUUUUUGCAGGACAGCAAGGCAACACUAUGCAAGAAGAUAAUGAAACUUGAGCUCGAGAAUGAGGAUCUGAGGGAGGAAAAUUUUAGCCUCAGGCGUAAGCUAGAGAAGAAAAGUGCAACGAAUCCUACUUCACCACCUCCGAAGAUAUAAUAACGUGGGUAUGGGCACUCCCCUUGGCAACUGCCAAGCUUGGGGGAGGUGCCCUGGUAUAGUAUCACCAUCACAACUCCUAUCUUUACUGUUUUUCUUAGUUCGAUCUAUUUAGUAGUAUUUUGAUUUAGUAGAAUAAAGUCAUGGCAAGAUCUAGUUUUGAGUUUUGCUUUAUGAUCCUUCUUUGUAAUCGAGUCUGUGAGCUAUAUAAUAAAGAUUAGUGUUGAGUCAAGGGCUUGAGUAUUUUGCCAUGAUCUUGGGUGAUUAGAAGAAAAAGAAUAAAAAGAAUCAAAGAGUUCAUAUUGAUCUUAGUGAAAGUAAUGACUUCACAUAGAAAGAGUAUGAUGAUUAAAGGUUGUUGGGAGUUGGCAAAUAUAGCUUUGGUCAUCGUUGCAAUUAAUAGGAAGUAAUAAGGAAAGAGAGGUUUCACAUAUAUAUAUAUAUAUUAUCAUUGACAUCUUUUAUGAUUGGGAGCACUCAUUAAAAUAUGACAUGCUAAAAGAGUUGAGGUUGGACAAGGAAGACAACGUAAUGAGUUAUGUUUUCUUACAUCUGAGAUAAAGUAUGUUGUCAUGGAUCCUCUAACGUGUUGAGCUUGCCUUUCCCCCUCAUCCUAGCCAAAUUCUCGGCACCAAGUAGAAAUACUACUUGUGCUUCCCAAUACCCUUAAACCAGUUUUGCCAUGAGAGUCCACCAUAUCUACCUAUGGAUUGAGUAAGAUCCUUCAAGUAAGUUGUCAUCAGUGCAAGCAAUAAAAAAUGCUCUCUAAAUAUGCAUGACUUAUUAGUGCAGAGAAAAUAAACUUUGUACGAACUUGUUGUGGACGCAAUAAAAGCGACGGACUGCAUAAUAAAGGUUCACAUACAAGGGGCAAUAUAAAGUGAUGUUCUUUUGCAUUAAGAUUUUGUGCAUCAACCCUAAAUGCGCAUGACAACCUCUGCUUCCCUCUGCGAAGGACCUAUCUUUUAUUAUUAUCCUCUAUCUUAUGCAAGAGUCACGGUGAUCUUCACCUUUCCCUUUUAUUUUAUCCUUUGGCAAGCUCAGCAUGUUGGAAAGAACAUGAUAUAUAUAUCUAAUUGGAUGUGGGGGAGAAUGAAAUAUUAUUGUUGACAUUACCCUUUAGGUAAAAGGUUGUGAGGCAAAACUAUAAGCCCCUAUCUUUCUCUGUGUCCGAUUAAAACUCCGUAACCACAAGUAUCGCGUGAGUGUUAGCAAUUAUGAAGGACUAAGUGAUAGUUGAGUAUGUGGAGUUGCUUUUAAGCUCUGACAUAGACUCUUUCCGAUGUUAUGAUAAAUUGCAAUUGUUUCAAUGACUGAGGUUAUAAUUUGUUGGCGCUCAAUAAGGCUUCUGAUUCAUACUCUGGCUUCGGGAAAUGAUCAUCGUUUGAACAUGAGUAAUCAUAUGAUAAAAUCUAUUUAUGUUGCUGUUAUGGAAAUAAUCAUGCUGCCUUCAUGUCCGUAUUUUUAUUUUUAUCGACGCCUCUACCUCUAAACAUGAGGAAAUAUUUAUUGUUAUCGGCUUUUCGCUUGAGGACGAGCGAGGUGUAAGCUUGGGGGAGUUGAUACGUCCAUUUUGCAUCAUGCUUUUAUAUCAAUAUUUAUUGCAUUAUGGGCUGUAAUUUCACGUUAUGUCACAAUACUUAUGGCUAUUCUCUCUUAUUUUACAAGGUUUACAUGAAGAGGGAGAAUGCCGGCAGCUGGAAUUCUGGGCUGGAAAAGGAGAAAAUAUUGGAGGCCUAUUCUGCACAACUCCAAAAGUCCUGAAACUCCACGGAAUAUCUUAAAAUAAAUAAAGAAAAAUCGUCGCCAAAGAUGAAGGCCAGGGGGCCCACACCCUGCUCACGAGGGUGGGGGCGCGCCCCCCUGGGCGCGCCCCCUACCUCGUGGGCCCCCUGGUGGCUCUCCGACGCCCAUCUUCUCCUAUAUGAAGUCUUUCCAUGAGAAAAAAAUACAAGGUAACCUUUCGGGACGAGACUCCGCCGCCACGAGGCGGAGCCUUGGCGGAACCAAUCUAGGGCUCCGGCAGAGCUGUUCUGCCGGGGACACUUCCCUCCAGGAGGGUGAAAUCAUCACCAUCGUCAUCACCAAUGCUCCUCUCAUCGGGAGAGGGCAAUCUCCAUCAACAUAUUCACCAGCACCAUCUCAUCUCCAAACCCUAGUUCAUCUCUUGUAUCCAAUUCUUGUCUCCAUGUCCGGGAUUGGUGCUAGUAGGUUGCUAGUAGUGUUGAUUACUCCUUGUAGUUGAUGCUAGUUGGUUUAUUUGGUGGAAGAUCAUAUGUUCAGAUCCUUUAUGCACAUUAUUACCCCUCUGAUUAUGAACAUGAAUAUGCUUUGGGAGUAGUUACGUUCGUUCCUGAGGACAAGGGAGAAGUCUUGUUAUUAGUAUUCAUGUGAAUUUGGUAUUCGUUCGAUAUUUUGAUAAGAUGUAUGUUGUCUAGCCUCUAGUGGUGUUAUGUGAACGUCGACUACAUAACACUUCACCAUUAUUUGGGCCUAGAGGAAGGCAUUGGGAAGUAAUAAGUAGAUGAUGGGUUGCUAGAGUGACAGAAGCUUAAACUCUAGUUUAUGCGUUGCUUCGUAAGGGGCUGAUUUGGAUCCAUAUGUUUCAUGCUAUGGUUAGGUUUACCUUAAUACUUUUGUUAUAGUUGUGGAUGCUUGCAAUAGAGGUUAAUCAUAAGUGGGAUGCUUGUUCAAGUAAGAACAACACCCAAGCACCGGUCCAUCCACAUAUCAAAUUAUCAAAGUACCUAACGUGAAUCAUAUGAGCGUGAUGAAAACUAGCUUGACGAUAUUCCCAUGUGUCCUCGGGAGCGCUUUUCCUAUUAUAAGAGUUUGUCCAGGCUUGUCCUUUGCUACAAAAAGGAUUGGGCCACCUUGCUGCACUUUAUUUACUUUUGUUACUUGUUGCUCGUUACAAUUUAUCGUAUCACAAAACUAUUUGUUACCACUUAUUUUAGUACUUGCAGAGAAUACCUUGCUGAAAACCGCUUAUCAUUUCCUUCUGGUCCUUGUUGGGUUCGACACUCUUACUUAUCGAAAGGACUACGAUAUAUCCCCUAUACUUGUGGGUCAUCACCGCCCCCGACUGCACCCCGCCGCCGCCCCCGACCCUGACCGCACGCUGCAGCCGCCCUGGACCCCAUGCCGCCCCUGCUCCCCACCACACCCCGCCGCCGUCCCCGACCCCACGCCGCCCCCGACCGCACAGCGCCGGCGCCCGCGACCCCCCACCACCNNNNNNNNNNNNNNNNNNNNNNNNNNNNNNNNNNNNNNNNNNNNNNNNNNNNNNNNNNNNNNNNNNNNNNNNNNNNNNNNNNNNNNNNNNNNNNNNNNNNNNNNNNNNNNNNNNNNNNNNNNNNNNNNNNNNNNNNNNNNNNNNNNNNNNNNNNNNNNNNNNNNNNNNNNNNNNNNNNNNNNNNNNNNNNNNNNNNNNNNNNNNNNNNNNNNNNNNNNNNNNNNNNNNNNNNNNNNNNNNNNNNNNNNNNNNNNNNNNNNNNNNNNNNNNNNNNNNNNNNNNNNNNNNNNNGGCACGCCGCCCCGGCCCGUCGGUGUCGGUCUCCUCCACCUCGACCUCCACCUCCCCCACUCCGGUGAGCCUCCUCCCCCUCUCUUUUUUUUCAAUUUUUUCUCUGUUAGUGUAGUUAGUUUAGUUAGAGUAGUUAGUUACUAUAGUUAGUGUAGUUAGUGUAGUUUAGUUAGUGUAGUUUGGUUAGUUAGUGUAGUGUAGUGUAGUGUAGUUAGUGUAGUUUUGGUCAGUUAGUGUAGUGUAGUUUAGUUAAUUUAGUUUAGUUGUAGUUUAGUUAUUUAGUUUAGUUAAUCUAGUUUAGUUGUAGUUAGUUACUGUAAUGCACUGCCUGGAUGUAAAGGAAAAAAUAAACUGUAAAUGUAGAGAUCCCAAGAUCCCUCCCCUCGUCGGUCACUAACCUAUCCCUCCCCGGAUCGCCCCCUCCUCGCAGAUCCUUGCUCGUGCCCCUUGCUUCAUCCAUUGGCUUCCCGUUCCGUCGAGGUGGUCUAGAUUUACGCAUGCAGGGCAUGCAUGAUGCCUCUGUUCUGUUAAAUCAACUUCUUGAUUAUAUGAGGCACGAUAUUUGUUAACGAGACUGACAUGGCUAUAUCCUAGGGCAAGGGCUACUGGCGCUCCUCUCCAAGACAUCCCAACACCGGCCGCCCGGGUGCUGGCACACGCCGCCAGCUCCUCUGUGUAUUUAUUGUAUCAAUUCGUUGUGAGUUAAAAGUAUGGUGCCCCCUCCUCAUCAUUAUAUAAAGAGGGCUAGAAUACAACGUGUUUGACUCCAGCACAAACUCGUAUCUAUCCACAUCAAUUACAGCUCCAAGUUCAUGUAAUCCCUUGGCUACAAUAUUUGACACAAUAUAACAAAUUGGGAACAGGGACAUUUUCUGAAAUUCUGAAAAAAAUGGAAGACCGAACAUCUACUGAAAAUGCACACAUUUUUUAAUUUACUUUUUAUUGAAAAUGGGAAUAUUUUUCUGAAAUUUUAAAAAGUAUAAUAAAAACGCAAAUAUUUUGUUUUUACAUUUCAACACUCAUUUAAAGAAAUAAACUUGAAAUUAAAAAAAGGCAUCGAGAUAACAGGGAAAAUUCAGUUAACAAACUUUCCAUAAGGUUCCCAAAAUUGGAUAAAAUAGGAAAGAAAAUUAGUUUAUGAACCUUCCGAAAGGUUCCCAAAACAUGUUAAACCAGACAGAAACCUCCUAGAAGGUUCCCAAAAUCGGAACGAAUGAGAACAAUUUAAAUGGGCCAGACAUAGAAACCCUGUUGUUUUGUCGACUGUUUGACGUAACAAACGUCUAGACGUCUAUUAGGACUCUCGAUACUCCCGGUCUAGACGUCUAGUAGGACUCUCGAAACCCCCCCUUUGCUCCUUAAGCCCCCGAAAGAAAAGUUGGCACUCACAUCCAUCACAGUGUUCCACAUCAGUACUCCCAAGGAGCUCUUUUUUCACUAAAAAACAGUAGCUUAGUGUUCUUUUUUUUCAUUUGCUCGCUUUUUCUCGGUUUUGUCUUGUGCUAUUGUUUUGUUCAUCAAAAGACACUAGUUGCUGGUUUUUAAAUUCAGGAAAAUAAUCAUAAUUUCAAAAUAAGUUUCAGAGUUUAGGAAAAGUUCAUGAUUUUGAAAAAAAAUCACGAAUUUUAAAAGAAGUCAUGAAAUAAAAAAAUCAUGAAUUUGAAAAUUGUUCAUGAAUUUUUAAAAUUGUUCCUGAAUUUGGAAAACGUUAAUGGAUUAAAUUAUAAAUUUAAAAAAGCCCAUGAAUUUGAAAAAUCUGCAGAUAUUUGGAAAAUGGGACAACUAGGAGUUGAAUUGGGCGUUGUGUACCAAAUUGCCUCUAGCAAGAUUUGGCUACUAAUAGCUUCUUAAGUAGAGGUAUUUGCUAAAAUAAAAUAGUUAAGGGUUGUCAACUAGCAGACUGAAUUGGGGGAUGAUGUUCUCGCAUUGUCGAGGGAAGGCCAAUGAGGGAGGUGAUAUCUGACCUUAGGUUUGUGAGCUAGUGAACCCACUAAUUUUAUUAGUGCAACUUGAAAGUGUAACGAGCCUUCAAAUUCAGUUUUCAUAAUAAAGAUAUAUGAUUUCCAGACUAGUGGUUUCUAUACCCUAAUCAUUUUCUAAAACAAUACUACCGUUUAUUUUAUAAGUAACAAAGUCAUCUUCCCUACAAAACCAGAAUUGAGUUUAUAGAUGUAUAAUUUCUAACUUUGUGAAAAAUUCGAUGCAAUUCCCUAAAAUUACUUGGGUGCCAAAAUACCUAUAGCUCCACAAUUCGGACUAGAUGCAGAAAUUAUGACAUUACAUUCAAUUUUGGUCCCUGACAAAAAAAUAAAACUGGGUAAAUAUCUUCUAAAUUCACUAGACUUUGAUGUAAAAUUUAUAUCUUGGGAAAUUUUAAACCCUUGUGAGAUCCGGCUUGCGCUUCGGUGCCUUAAGGCACAUGCCUUUGUCCCUAUGACAUGUGGGUCCAACUUAUGGCUGACCCACAUGUCAAGGACCCAAAGGCAGGUACCUUUAAGGCACUGAAGCUGCGUCCAUGAGAUCCGCAUGUAGGUAUGUACGAUGCGCUUUUUCGGGAGGAGGGCGGGUCGGUCGGAGAGAUGAAGAGGUGAUGGUGGGGUCCAGUGAAGGCCAGCUUAUUGCAACAGCCUACCACACCUCUUUGUCGUCUGCUAGCGGAUGCAAUAAGCCGGCCUUCACUGGACCNNNNNNNNNNNNNNNNNNNNNNNNNNNNNNNNNNNNNNNNNNNNNNNNNNNNNNNNNNNNNNNNNNNNNNNNNNNNNNNNNNNNNNNNNNNNNNNNNNNNNNNNNNNNNNNNNNNNNNNNNNNNNNNNNNNNNNNNNNNNNNNNNNNNNNNNNNNNNNNNNNNNNNNNNNNNNNNNNNNNNNNNNNNNNNNNNNNNNNNNNNNNNNNNNNNNNNNNNNNNNNNNNNNNNNNNNNNNNNNNNNNNNNNNNNNNNNNNNNNNNNNNNNNNNNNNNNNNNNNNNNNNNNNNNNNNNNNNNNNNNNNNNNNNNNNNNNNNNNNNNNNNNNNNNNNNNNNNNNNNNNNNNNNNNNNNNNNNNNNNNNNNNNNNNNNNNNNNNNNNNNNNNNNNNNNNNNNNNNNNNNNNNNNNNNNNNNNNNNNNNNNNNNNNNNNNNNNNNNNNNNNNNNNNNNNNNNNNNNNNNNNNNNNNNNNNNNNNNNNNNNNNNNNNNNNNNNNNNNNNNNNNNNNNNNNNNNNNNNNNNNNNNNNNGGCUCACUGCCCCGGCCCCCCGACGCCCCGACGCUCCGGCACGCUGCCUCGGCCGGCCGGCGUCGGUCUCUUCAACCUCGACCUCCACCUCCCCCACUCCGAUGAGCCCCCUCGCCCUCUCUUUCUUUCAAUUUUUUUCUCUGUUAGUGUAGUUAGUUUAGUUAGAGUAGUUAGUUAGUAUAGUUAGUAUAGGUAGUGUAGUUAGUGUAGUUAGUUUAUUUAGUUUAGUUAGUGUAGUGUAGUGUAGUUUAGUUAGUGUAGUUUGGUUAGUUAGUGUAGUGUAGUGUAGUUUAGUUAGUGUAGUUUUGGUCAGUUAGUGUUGUGUAGUUUAGUUUAAUUUAGUUAAUUUAGUUUAGUUGUAGUUUAGUUAGUUUAGUUUAGUUAAUCUAGUUUAGUUGUAGUUAGUUACUGUAAUGCACUGCCUAGAUGUAAAGGAAAAUAAAAUAAAAUGUUAAUGUUGAGAUCCCAAGAUCCCUCCCCUCGUCGGUCACUAACCUAUCCCUCUCCGGAUCGCCCCCUCCUCGUAGAUCCUCGCCGGUGCCCCUUGCUUCCUCCAUUGGCUACCCCUCCUCGGCUCCACCCCUCAUCGCCGACAGCAGCAGGAAGCUAGCUAUAUCCUCCUCCUCCCCCUUCCUUUGAUCUGUUCCGGCCUUCAUUCCAAUGACACUAGCUAGGUAACUACAGUCGCGUAACCAAUUUUUGUCUCAUGUUCGAAAGGGUCGCAUCGAUAAAUAUGCAACUAAAUAUGCAUCAAGUUGCAUAUUUAUCACCAUAACUCAUUCGGAUUGUCCAACGAUUUCCACGGACAGCCCAAGGAUGUGUAGAUUGGGUACGUUCUCCAUGUUCUACCCAAUUCCAAGAAACAAAUUCUCCAGCACCUCCCUGUUGUUCUUUGGAUGCACAUUCUCUCGGCUUUUUGCCGAGCCGUGUAUUUGGAGAACAGUGGGGAGGUGCUGCUGAAAUUUUGUCUCGGAAUGGGGUAGUGCAUGGAGAACGUACUCAAUCUACACAUACUUGGGUAGGAUUAGGACCUACCUUUACCUAUUCGCAUGUAGGUUGCAUGGACGUAAUAAAAUUGACAAACUAGAUUAACUAAUGAAUAUACAUGCUGAAUUAUAUAUAUUUCUUUUGUGUCUAGUAGCUUGGUAAGAUGAGUGAUCGUGCAUGGGUGUACACUGGUCACACUAGUCAGAAAGACAUGACCAUUGAAUGGUUAACAAAAACCAAGGGGGUUGUGAGAGCCGCAUUAGCAAAUGGCCAGAGAAAAACCUGGUGCCCCUAUGUACGAUGCGACAAUUGGCACAAGAGGACAGAGGAUGAAAUGGGCAAACCAUUGCAGAAGAGUGGUUUGACGGCUGGUUAUACGGUGUGGACAUUUCAUGGUGAGUCUGGCCAACGUGCCAGAGCUGACGUGGUUCAUCGUCGCACCGACAAGAAAGGUACCGAGAUGGAAGACAUGGUGCAAGACUUUGAUGAUGCUCGGGAUUCGGACGAUGAGAUGGAGGAAUCUGCAAAGGCCUUCAAUGAAAUGUUGGACUCUUCAAAACGUCCUCUCCACGAGCACAAUGAGCUUUGUCAUCUGAAUGCCAUCUCCCAAGUAAUGGCUCUGAAGGCUCAACUAAACUUGGGCAGUGUCGGGGAUAUACCCCGCGGUAUGACCCGGCCGGAGUUAUGACCCGGCCGGACUUGGCGAUUCACCAGAAGACCCGGUUGGAGCUAGGCGACUCACUGGUGACCUGCCUGGACAUGGCGGUUUACAUAUAACCCACCUGGACAUUAUGACUCACUGGAGACCCGGCGGGCGGGUCAAACGGACGACAAGGCCCAAGGCCCAGUAGGCCGGUUCAUGUGAUGGUGGGCCGACUUAAGAAGAAAGGUGUGAGGAAUAUUUCCCUUACAAGGAAUCAAGACCCGGACUUGUAUCCGGCUUGUAGUAGAAGAUAGCCUAAUCCUAGUCCUACUAGGACUCCACAUGUAACCCGCCCCUCUAACUUAUAUAAGGAGGGGCAGGGCUCCCCAAGAGGGACAAACAACAGGAAACAAUCUCUAGGGCUAGACACAAAGGGGGAGCCGGCUUAUGCGGCGACUCUCUCAUGAGCAUAAUGAGACCUAGCCUCAAACAGCAUGUAGGGCUAUUACCGGAUGAUGUUUCCCGGGGCCCGAAGCUGUCUAAAUCCUUGUCUUGCGUGUUGAUCCGCUCUGCGUCUCUCGUCCCACUCAACCCCUCUCAAGCUACCACAUAGAUGCGUUGGCUUCGCGACUAAGUCCUCACACUAAGGACAUCUGACGUGUUAAUUCCACGAGAGUUGACGCCCACUAUCGGGGCUCGCGCAUGUGGUGUUGAGUUUUUGGAGGGAUCUCUCUUAGGGAUCAAGGGGCUCGAAAUUUUUCAGAUGAAGAAAAGCUGGAUUGAAAGGAUUUGCAUCAGUGACGAGUUCAUCAGUCCAAAUUGAAGAUCUGUCAGAUUUAAGGUUCAAAGGAAUUAGGGUUGCGAGUUGUUCCGCCGCUGUUUUAUUGAAAAGUCGCCAAGACCGACGGAAUUUUGGAUCAGGUGCAUCGACGUCCAGUUGGUUCAAGUGUUUCAGAUUCGUUCGAUCGGCGGUUCAAGGUUGUUUUUACCAAAAGUCAAGCCAGGUCGAUUGCGUACUGCUCCAAGCUGGAUUCGGUUCAGAUGCCAAAAAAGAAAAACAAAAGGAAGAGAAGAGGAAACAUCCCACGACUCGUAAGUAGAUUAGACAAGAGACUUGGUCUCUGCCAUCGAGCCGGUUUUCCCUCACCAAUCCUGGUCGAGCCAUGACCUCCGCGACUUGCCGUGUCCUCACUCUCCCGACCUCCGCCAAGGCCUGUCCGUGAGCCGCCGCCGGGCCCCAUCCAUCCGCCUCGUAGCAGCUGGCACAUCAAGCCGGCCGGCCGGCCACGGCGCCAGGGAGUUGCUGCAUCAGGGAGUCGCUGCAUCGGUUACGGUUUGUUCUGCUGCCGCCGCAAAGAAGUUGCCGCUGGUAGGAUUUCUAUUGUCUAUGCAACGACAAGUCCAAGACAGGGAGAGCUGCACGGGCUGGUUCAUCUGUGGUAUUACUACAUAUAAGACACACGUAAGUCGCCCAGGCUGCAGUAAAACACCAAGUUCUAGUUGUUCAAAUGACCAAAGUCAAACUACGACCUGGAACGAGAUCCGCCUGAGCCGCCGCCGCAACGAUACAGCCGUGCUUGAUCCGGCUUGCCGCCCCGUCGACUUGCUUUGCUGCCGUGGGCCGCGUCGAGUCACCAUCUCCGUUUCCAAACGACCAUGGGCCUCCGCGAGCCACCUCGCCUCUGAGUUAUUCUAAACUUGCCUCUGCCGUGGCCGUGCUCUAGGCUACUGCAGCCUCGUUUCCACCCUCGAGUCACCAGUCACGCAGUGGUUUGCCUUCACAUCCAAGCCGGUUUGCUGCGUCUACUGCGGUUGUCUACGAAUCCUCAAGCAACUUUGUUGUUGCCAUGGCUGUACUCCGUUUCUACAUAUUGUUAAUCCGAACCCAAAUCCAUCACCAGGACGGAGGAUCAAGCCAAAAAUGAGAUUCCUUUCUGGAGAUGCACCACAUAACCUGAAGCGCUGUCAAAAGCGACGAGGGAGCUAUCAAAGGUCAGCACUAGCAUGGGUAUCCAUCCAAAGAAGCAUUAAGGAUUAGUACUAGUACAUACAUUAAGGAUUACCGUCAUCAUUUGGGAAAAAUGUACUAGUACAUACACAAUUUCCAAAAACAGUCUUUAUGUUUCCUUAUAUGGAGCCACGCAAGAAAAAAUAUAUCCAUCGAUUUCAAUAUUCAGUGGUGGAAGAGGUGAGUACAGUCUGAUCGGACGGAUGUUUUCUUCAAACCGCCGCCGGAUCGAGUCAACUCAAGCCUCACCCGCUGCUGCUGUCUCUGCGGUUACAAGACGCCAUGACCCGGUGGCAUUAAACCGGAGCCACAUCUGCCUGUUUCAAAUCGCCGCCGCUUCACUUCUGGCUGGCUGAUGUUCCGGACCGCCCCCGUCGCUGCUGACUCUGCCGUGCCGCGGUGCCCCUGCCCUCAACUCUGUGGCUGGCUUCGUCUGCUCGCCGUGGCCUCAACUUUGAACCGCUUGCCUCGCCUCUGAGCAACCUCGCUGCCAAGUCACCGUGGCCGGGUCUCACUGACCUUGUGGGCCGGCCUGCUGCCUCUGCCGGGUCUCACUGACCGGCAAAAAAUAUCAGGUGAUAUUCAUCCAAGUGUAUUUUAUUAAAUAUAUUAUUUCUGUUAAAAAACAAGUUUAUCUUUGCCUUGGUCUGCAAUAUUGUUUAUGCAGGGCAAUUAUUUAUGACAAAAAGAGAUAUUAUACCACGGAGAUGGAGGCACGCCAACAUCUUUUGAUACAGGUGGUCGUCAUUACUCAACGGACUCCUGCACCGGCUCACAACGCCGUGGCCGUCUCCCGCGACCACGCCGGCUUACAACAAGGAGGACAACUUGCCCGUCCGCACCGGCUUACAACGCCACGGCCGGCUUAUCUGUCUGUGCCACCUUAGAUGUUGCAGUCGUCUUUACCGUUCGUCUCUCGUUGCCUGGUCUACAUCAACACAUUGGUCCGCACCUGUCUGCAUGAGUUGUUUAUUAAGUAUGAGCAAGUCACUACUUGGGAAGCCCGGUUUUCUUCCAACAAAUUGGAGGCAAAUUAUCAUGUAUUAUUAGCCAUCGUCUGCACUGGAUGGUUCAAUGGGCAGGCGCACAAGUCGCCGCACUACGGUUUGGUUAAACUUUAAACAGCCAGUUGGAAGGAACCAUUGGCCGAGUUGCUGACACGGUUCAUACGGGAUCAUUUAUAACCCGCCGCAGUCACCUCAACCUUCUGUGGAUUCACAUCGCGCUAUCAACGCCAAUGAUAUACACCUUCUGCUAUGGUCAAAUAUGGAGAAUCUCAAGCCAAUACUUCGAGUCAUCUUGAGACUCGGGGGCUACAAUGGUAUGGCUCGGCAAGAUUGGCCGGUUUCAUUGAAUUCAAGAACUCCGGGUGAUUGAAGGGAAGAUAACCCGGCCCUGGAGGUUACUGCUUUAUUGGAAAAUAUUUAAAGGCCGUCAGGAAAAUUUCCGGUUCAAAAUGAGGAUUCCGGUUUAAAAUACAGCUCAAGAGACAUCUUUCUCCCGCAAAACUUUGAAGCUCUCAAAACUGGUUCAACAUCCGGAUCAAGGUAAAUUUGUCCCUUACAAAGCUUUGAGGAUCUCAAUAUCCGGUUUAAGAAUUUCCGGUUCAAAAGAAUUAAUCUCUCGCAAAUUCGAGAUAUCGAACAAAUUAAUGGUUACCAAAGGGAACUUGCCGCCAUGAUGCACGGUUCAAAACAUGGGUAUCCUGCCUUACGGCUUAUUUUAUUGUGGUCACUAGGGGGCUUCCUGCUCAUCGGGCAUAGCUAUCAGUACCCUCUUGAUCGGCGCAAUGCCAGAAAUUUAUAUGGUCACUUGGGGGCUUCCUGUUCAAACAUAGGUCGUAUUCGAACCAAAGAGAACAUAGCUGUCGAUACCCUUUUGAUUAGCAAACUGCUGAACCUACUUGGGGGCUUCUUGAUCGUAUCCGAAUCAUAGCUCAACCCCUUUGGGAAUCGACGUGGAUCGUAUAUGAAUCAACAUUGUUAAAACAACUUUUAAGGUCAUUUGGGGGCUUCCUGUUCAAACAUAGGUCGUAUUCGAACCAAAGAGAACAUAGCUGUCGAUACCCACUUUGAUCGGCAACGCCAAUGCCACUGGGGGCUAUAUGAUCGUAUUCGAAUCUUAUCUUAACCCCUUUGGAACGGUUUGCUGAUCGUAUUCGAAUCAGAAGCCUCAAAAUUUUUAUCUAUUUUUAUACAAUCCAAGUAUUUGAGUUGUCACAAAUAUCAUAUGUGCCGGCUCUUACAGAGUUGAGUUAUCAACUUCACUAUCCGGGUCACAUAAGCCGACGGUAUCAUUCAAAGGAUCAUAAGGAUCUUGUGAUCUACUUGUGUGCAGGAUAAGACUACAUUUGGGUGAUUACCCGCCCUGGCUUUUGACGUUAAUUCGCCAGGGCAUAUGUUGUUUAAACUCUUUGCAGGGUUUGCAGAAAUAUGACAUAUAAAUGAUUAAGUUCAAGCUCAUUACCAAAGUUGAUGCUUCAAAAUGAUGACCCGUUCUGGAUUUUUUCCAAAGGCUAUAAGCCGCCGGGUUAUAAAAAUUCCGGCUUACAAUGGAGGCGUAUUAAAUCGCCAUCGGCCAAGAGCCGCUGAGUAUUUAAACUCCGGAUUUACUUGUCAAGCAAUGAGGUAUUCAAAUCUUUAAUAGCCAAAACUGGCUGGAUUUUCAUGAUGAUAUUGAAUGAUUGAGGUUUUCAUACUGGAUUAUAUUAUUCAAAUCUCGAAUAGCCAACAUGGCUGGAUUUCUAUUGUGAUUAUCACUAACCAGUGUUAUGAUUGAGGUUUUCAAAGUCGCUUUAGCGCAACGGCUAUUAUUUUUAUCAAUGGGCAUGAUUUAUUUUACAAUGGAGGAAAUAGUCCCGAGUCGUUGCAGGCUUACAACCCGGCACUUGGGGGCUACAUUGUUCAAAUCGAGAUUACAUCAAAUAUACAAGUCCCAUGUCACUACCAGCAUGCACCAUGGCACUUGGGGGCUAAUGCAAAGCCAUUUAUUUGCUCAACUUAUUGAAGACCCGACUCAUCACAUUUUAAAUGAGCCGGCCCUUGGGGGCUACUAAUUGCUCCUGUCAAAAAUUCAAGGUACACAAGCAUUAAUCCAUUAUAUUGAACGGUCCACUAUUCAGUUGGUGGAGUACAAAGCUCUUAACCUUGUGGACGUGGGUUCAAGCCCCAUGGUGGAGACCAUAUUAUAUGAUGUUAUUGUCAAUUAUAUACAAAGUCCUAGCUCAAUAUUAUGUUACUAAGCCGGCCCUUGGGGGCUACACAUUGCUGUUCAAAUUUACAUGGUUAUAUCUACAAAGUCCCUGUUCAUUAUUGCAUAAUGACCCGGCCCUUGGGGGCUAUACCGGUUGAAGUUUUCAUGAGCAUAAAGCAAUUACAAGUCCCGGGUUGCUGCAAGCAUGACAACCCGGUACUUGGGGGCUACAUGUGUGGAAUAUUCAGUUUAUAUGAUUGAGAUGAAUAAACCGGAUUUCUUCAAGGUUGCAACAUUUAUUGGAGCAAGUCUUAAACCAUCACUUUGUUCUGCUCAAGACUUGGGGGCUACAAGUAAUAUGGAUAUAAGGGAGAAAAAUCUUCAAAUUAUCAGUUUUGAGCAAAUCAGGAGGAUCAAUUACGUAAACCGGUGUCAACAACAAUUAUGACCCGGCAUCGUCUGUUUAUAAUCAGGCAGUUUUUGGUAAUGAUAAACCGGCAGGUUUUACAUCUUCAAGCUGGCUGAAUAUCAGAUGAGUAUUUGAAGAUCAAAAUUAUUUAACCUGGUGCCUUGGAAGCCGACUCAAGUGGAUUAUUCUUCACAAUAUUUUUCUGUGAGAAACCAACAUCAGCAAAUUGAGUAUGAAGCUAGCUUAUUUGACCCAGAUUUUCUAGAUGAAGGAAAUGAAAAUUGGACUUAAGGAUAAUCAGGUCCUGUCUCAGGAGAAUAUUUAACCCGGAGCGCAAGGAAUUAAGGAUGAUUAGGUGCCGACUUACAAGAAUUUUUAACCCGGAGCACAACCUGUCAAAGUUGUUUUGGUGUUUAUUUUGCAGGAUCAGUUUAACAUGGAUAAAUCCAAAAUUAAACUGGGGGCUAAUGUCGGGGAUAUACCCCGCGGUAUGACCCGGCCGGAAUUAUGAUCGGGCCGGACUUUGCGAUUCACCAGAAGACCCGGCUGGAGCUAGGCGACUCACUGGUGACCUGCCUGGACAUGGCGGUUUACAUAUAACCCGCCUGGACAUUAUGACUCACUGGAGACUCGGAGGGCGGGUCAAACGGACGACAAGGCCCAAGGCCCAGUAGGCCGGUUCAUGUGAUGGUGGGCCGACUUAAGAAGAAAGGUGUGAGGAAUAUUUCCCUUACAAGGAAUCAAGACCCGGACUUGUAUCCGGCUUGUAGUAGAAGAUAGCCUAGUCCUAGUCCUACUAGGACUCCACAUGUAACCCACCCCUCUAACUUAUAUAAGGAGGGGCAGGGCUCCCCAAGAGGGACAAGCAACAAGAAACAAUCUCUAGGGCUAGACACAAAGGGGGAGCCGGCUUAUGCGGCGACUCUCUCAUGAGCAUAAUGAGACCUAGCCUCAAAUAGCAUGUAGUGCUAUUACCGGAUGAUGUUUCCCGGGGCCCGAAGCUGUCUAAACCCUUGUCUUGCGUGUUGAUCCGCCCUGCGUCUCUCAUCCCACUCAACCCCUCUCAAGCUACCACAUAGAUGCGUUGGCUUCGCGACUAAGUCCUCACACUAAGGACAUCUGACGUGUUAAUUCCACGAUAGGCAAAGAAUGCUACGAUGCGAUGAUGACAAUAUUUGGAUGCUUUGUAGCCAAAGGCCAUGUAAUGCCUACAAACUUCUACCAGUAGGACAAAAUCCUUUGUGCAAUUAAGAUGCCCUAUGAGAAGAUACAUGCCAGUGAGAAAGGAUGUGCCUUAUUUAGGCUUGAGUAUGCGGACUUGAACUAUUGUCCCAUUUGCAAGUCUUUCGUGUAUGUUGUGGUACAACGGUAUGGGUGAGAAGACGCGGACCAAAAUCCCCGUUAAUGUUCUUCGGUAUAUGCCAAUCGUACCAAGACUUCAACGUCUUCUCAUGGUUGAAGAGACGGCCAGACAUAUGACAUGGCACAAAAUGGGCAAAAAAACUGAACUAGAUGCAGAUGGGAAUCUGAUGAUGGUACACAAAUCGGAUGGUUCUGCAUGGAAGCGCUUCGAUGCAUUACAUGAGCAAAAAGUGGCAGAUCCAAGACAUCCUCGAGUAGCCAUCAGCAUGGAUGGGUUCAAUGUGUUUGGUCUGACGGAAACCCAAUACAGUUGUUGGCCCGUAAUUGUUAUUCCACUCAAUCUCCCCCCGAACAGGUAAUGCAAAGAAACAACAUUUUCCUGAUGUUGAUAAUUCUAGAGCCCAACUAUCUGGGGAAGAAUAUGAAUGUGUACAUGCAGCCGCUUAAGGAUGAAUUGCAAUAAGCUUGGGAUAAUGGGUUCAAGACAUACAACGCCGCUAGCAAACAAAACUUUAUAAUGCGUGUCUGGUACAUGUACUCGAUGCAUGACUUGCUGACGUAUGCACUAUCCAUUGGCUAGUUUGUGCAUGGAAGGUUCUCGUGCCCCACAUGUAAGGCAGCUCUUCAGUUUCGUUGGCUGCAGGCGGGUCGCAUGUUUUCUUGCUUCGACUUGCAUAGACAGUUCCUGGAUCCUCGCAAUAAAUUCAGGAAAGACAAGAAGAACUUCAUCAAAGGUAGAGUUGUCAAAAACUCUGCACCACCUGUGUUGAUAGGCCAAGAGACCCUGGAUCAGUUAAAUGCUCUAGAGCCAAAUCUAGAGCGUCCAUGGUAUUUCAAGGGGUAUAAUUCAGGACACGCCUGGACUCACGAGACAUGCUUGUGGGAUCUGCCUUACUUCAAGGACCUCCUUUGCCCACACAACAUCGACGUGAUGCGCACUGAAAAGAAUAUCGCUGAGGCCCUUUUUGGUACAUUGUUCGGCAUAGAGGGGAAGUUAAAGGAUAAUACUAAGGCUAGGGUCGAUCGGGAUACACUAUGUGAUAGAACGCUACAAAACAUGCAAGAACCGAAUGGAAAGCAGAACUGGACGAAGUCAAUGGCAUGGUUCAAUCUUGGAAGGCCAACUAUGAGGGAAAUUAUCUCAUGGGUGAAAAUGCAGUUGAUGUUCCUCGAUGGGUAUGCAGCGAAUCUAAAGAGGGGAGCAAUUCUUGAAAAAUUGAAAACAUUUGGUCUCAGGAGUCAUGAUUAGCAGAUAUGGAUUGAGUAGGUAAUGCCGGUGAUGUUGUGUGGCUUCAUCGCUGAGGAUGAAUGGCUAGUACUGGCAGAGCUGAGCUGUUUCUUUCUGAAGGAAAUAUGCCCUAGAGUCAAUAAUAAAGAUAUUAUUUAUUUCCUCAUUUCAUGAUAAAUGUUUAUUAUUCAUGCUAGAAUUGUAUUAACCAAAAACUUAGUACAUGUGUGAAUACAUAGACAAAACAUAUUGUCCCUAGUAUGCCUCUACUUGACUAGCUCGUUAAUCAAAGAUGGUUAUGCUUCCUAACCGUAGAUGUGUGUUGUUAUUUGAUAAACGGGAUCACAUCACUAGGAGAAUGAUGUGAUGGACAUGACCCUUCCGUUAGCUUAGCAUUAUGAUCGUUACAGUUUCAUUGCUACUGCUUUAUUCAUGACUUAUACAUAUUCCUCAGACUAUGAGAUUAUGCAACUCCUGAAUACCGGAGGAACACCUUGUGUGCUGUCAAAUGUCACAACAUAAAUGGGUGAUUAUAAAGGUGAUCUACAUGUGUCUCUGAAGGUGUUUGUUGGGUUGGCAUAGAUCGAGAUUAGGAUUUGUCACUCUGUGUUUCGGAGAGGUAUAUCUGGGCCCUCUCGGUAAUGCUCAUCACUAUAAGCCUUGCAAGCAAUGUGAUUAAUGAGUUAGUUGUGGGAUGAAGCAUUAUGGAACGAGUAAAGAGACAUGCCGGUAACGAGAUUGAACUAGGUAUGAUGAUACCGACGAUCGAAUCUCGGGCAAGUAACAUACGGAUGACAAAGGGAACAACGUAUGUUGUUAUGCGGUUUGACCGAUAAAGAUCUUCGUAGAAUAUGUAGGAACUAAUAUGAGCAUCCAGGUUCCGCUAUUGGUUAUUAACAGGAGAUGUGUCUCGGUCAUGUCUACAUAGUUCUCGAAGCCGUAGGGUCCGCACGCUUAACGUUCGAUGACGAUUGGUAUUAUGAGUUUAUGUGAUUUACUGUACCGAAGGUUGUUCAGAGUCCCGGAUGAGAUCACCGACAUGACGAGGAGUCUCGAAAUUGUCAAGAUGUAAAGAUCGAUAUAUUGGAAGGCUAUAUUCGGACAUCAGAAAGGUUCUGACCGUUUCGGGUAUUUUUCGGAGUUCCAGGGAGUUAUGGGAAUUCACCGGGAGAAGUAAUGGGCCUUAUUGGCCUUUAGUAGAGAGAGAGGAGAAGGGCCAAGAGGUGGUGCACGCCUCCCCCCUUCCCAAACCGAAUUGGACAAGGGGUGGGGGUGCAGGCCCCCUUUCCUUCUCCCUCUCCCUCUCUUUCCUUCUCUCCUACUUCGAAUGGGAAAGGGAAUCCUACUAGGACUUGGGAGUCCUAGUAGGACUCCCUAUGCUUGGCGCGCCCCCUAGGCUAGCCGCCUCCUCCCUCCCUCCUUUAUAUAUGGGGGAGGGGAGCACGCCAAGGACACACAAGUUGAUCUUUAGCCGUGUGUGGUGCCCCCUCCACAGUUUUCCACCUCGUUCAUAUCAUCGUAGUGCUUAGGCGAAGCCCUGCACCGGUAACUUCAUCAUCACCGUCAGCACGCCGUCGUGCUGACGGAACUCUCCCUCGGCCUCAGCUGGAUCUAGAGUUCGAGGGACGUCACCGAGGUGAACGUCUGCAGAUCGUGGAGGUGUCGUGCGUUCGGUACUUGAUCGGUUGGAUCGCGAAGUUGUUCGACUACAUCAACCGCGUUACUUAAACGCUUCCACUUUCGGUCUAUGAGGGUACGUGGACACACUCUCCACUCUCAUUGCUAUGCAUCACCUAAAUAUAUCUUGCGAGAUCCUAGGAUUUUUUUUGAAAUUAAUGCGUUCCCCAACACUUCUGUGUUCUCUGUGCGAGAGAACUAUCGCCUGGCGUGCUAGAAGAAAUGGAAGAGUUGGCGCCAGAUUUGAUCUGCAAGUUAGAGAAGAUCUUUCCAUCGGGCUUCUUUAAUCCAAUACAACACUUGAUUUUGCAUCUCCCGACCGAGGCAAGAUUGGCGGNNNNNNNNNNNNNNNNNNNNNNNNNNNNNNNNNNNNNNNNNNNNNNNNNNNNNNNNNNNNNNNNNNNNNNNNNNNNNNNNNNNNNNNNNNNNNNNNNNNNNNNNNNNNNNNNNNNNNNNNNNNNNNNNNNNNNNNNNNNNNNNNNNNNNNNNNNNNNNNNNNNNNNNNNNNNNNNNNNNNNNNNNNNNNNNNNNNNNNNNNNNNNNNNNNNNNNNNNNNNNNNNNNNNNNNNNNNNNNNNNNNNNNNNNNNNNNNNNNNNNNNNNNNNNNNNNUGCUUCGAGCAAAAUGUAAAAAUAAACGUUGAAUUGAAGCAUCGAUGGCCGAGGCAUUCAUUACGGAGGAGGCAACAAACUUCAUGACAACACACUACAAAGCCAGAAAUCUUCAUUUGCACAAUCCGAAGCCUCGGUACAAUGCUGGCGACCCUAAAAAAGGUGGAUCCAACCUUAGCCUAUUCAAAGGGAAUCUCGCACCAUCCGGUGCUUCGAAACCAAUAUCGUUGGAUGUCGAAGAAUGACGGACCAUUUUGUUGUAUAUCUUCAACAACCUAACAGAAGUGCGGCCGUACAUCGAGUAAGUUCUCGGUACGUUGUUUCACAACAUCUAAUUCCUUUGAACUACUCUUAUUCCCAGAUAUUCGAUGUAGUUGAUACGUCGCCAAAUUCUCGGAUGGAGAGGUGAUCCAAAAGGAAUCCAUCGAAGAUUAUGAGCUUCUGGCAAAGCAUGGAGGCGACUUUCCCGGUUUGAUCUCUUGGUUCAAACAAACGGUAAUUUCCAUUAGACCACUCUCAUUUCUUUGUCUAAUUUGCGGCUAAUACAACAAUCCUUUCGUAUGAAACUUGUAGGCUAAUUCAGAGUCUAUGGACGCCAAAUUGAGACAAGUCGUUAAUGGUUUUGACUAUGAGGUCCGUUCAUUUGACAAAUACGACAUCAACGGGUAUCGCUUUCAUACCUUCGGCAAAGAGCUCUCUAUGGCCGACCAAAAGUCUACAAAUUGUUGUGUCUCUGCUAUCGGCGAAGGAGGUACCAAGUAUUAUCGGAGAGUUGAAGCAAUUUAUGAACUUCUAUUCUAUGGUGAAAACCCACCGAACAUUGUAGUCUUCAAAUGUUAUUGGUUCCAGCCAAAGGAGACUAGUAGGACUCAUGAACAUAUAGGGCUAUCCGAAAUCAAACAAAGCACCCAUUUAGAUGUCCCUGAUGUCUAUAUUACGGCUCAAUAGGCGACCCAAGUUUUCUAUCUACCAUGGGCCUGCCAAACUGAUCAAUAUUUGAAUGGUUGGGAUGUCGUUUAUGAAAGUGCCGCCACGUGUUAGGCCACUACCCCCCAAUGAAGAGGAUUAUGAACCUCACAUUAAACCAGACAAAUAUGAAGGAGAAUUCUUCCAAGAAACACGUCUUUCCAAAAAAUGUUUCAAGAAACGCUCUACUUCACCCCAGAACAUUGAAGUAGAUAGCGACAGUGAAUCCGACUUCACCCCUGAGCUGGAACAAGAAGAUCCGAAACAAGAAGAGGUUACUGCUGCGAAUGACCUGUCAAUGCUUGACCUAUUACAUAAAGGUGCCCUUCCACAUGUUGAUGCCGCUGAACCCGAUGAGCACACGAUAGUGAUGAUGAUGAUGCAUUUAUUGCUCCCGAAGCAUAUAUAGACUAUCAAGAUUAUUAUUAGUUCAUGUCAGGUAUUCAAUUUGUAUUAUAUACAUAUAUAUUGUUAUUUAUGUUAGCUAUUCAAUUUUUUUAUGUUGUACUUGAUGAUGAUACACUUAUGUUAUAUACAUAUUGUUAUUUAUGUCGGUAUCAAUUUUAUUUAUAUUGUACUAAUUUCAUUUACUCCUUUUCAUGGCAGGUGUUGAAAGAUGGUGGGCGCUGGUCUGGACCGCUCCAAGGCUCCUUCUUCGUCGGCGCGUGGUGGGAGGGGUAUUUACAUUCUACCCCAGUCUAUCCGAAGAGCUUUUCUCGACAGUAAGUAGACACCCGUCUGCGCUUCUUCGUCAGCGUUGUUGCCCACCGGGAGAGGAUGUCGGGGAAGGAAGAAGAGAGGAGGUCGGGGAGGAUGUGGACGUGGGAGAGGUAGGUAGGCUCCUACUCCUUCCUCGUCGCCACCGCCAGCUGAUUCACCCAAUCACAUGACUAGUACGGUGGACACGUCCGAGGAGGAGGGUAUGCGGACUCCGAUCCACGAGUGUCGGGUCAAAGGGCCUUCGGCCCAUGAGACUCUGGACUAGGGUACGUCCCAGGAGACGUCUGGAUGGGGUACCUAGCCGGAUCCGCCUGAGGGGCCGAGUGGCCAUGCUGAUGGUGGUGGGGAUCCGGCUGAUAGCGAGGGCGAGGUGGUUGAGGGGGCCACCGUCUACCAGCGUGGUUGUACACGACUCUCGCCCAUGUCGGUGACACGCGAGCAGAGGUAGUUGAUUUUGCCUGACGGGGAGAGGUAAGUGCAUUUACUCUUUUUGUACCUUUUGCGUUCACGUUUCUUCAAAUAUAUCUAAUGUGUUGGCCUUGUCAUACUGCAGGGGUUGGGACCAUGCUCUGGAUGUCCGCAGGCCCAACACCAUCCUUGUUGUGUUUUGCUGGUAAAACUUCCUGGAGUUUGUCACGUUACCCGGUGAGGCUCGGCUUCCAUAACUAGAAUUCAGUCGGGAGCACUACUUGGCUGCCCCAGCCCCGACGGAGGAGAUGCUCGACGGUGUCUUAUGCCACACGAGGGCAGACAUGGUGAUUAGAAAGUGUUGGGUAAUUUCUCCUUUACACAAUUAAAAAUGUUCAAAUAGCUUGUUAUUUUACUAAUCAAUGGUGUCUCAUUUGAUUGCAGACCUUCUACAUGUUUGAGGAGGGAUACGAGGAGGCUGCGGCACAGGUUAUCGAUGCCGAGUGCAAGCGCCUACUAUGAAACUUAUGGCACGAGGCUCAAGUGCAGGCUAUUCGAGACUACUAUGCCUCACAUGGUAUUAAGAAGACCAAGACGGCGUGCCACGAAAAGUUUCUAAAGAAGGAGCAGUACAUGACAGUAAUUACCUAUUCUUAAGGCCUUGUACUUAGUUUCCUUGAUUUUAUUCGUAGGUGAUACGUCUCCAACAUAUCUAUAAUUUUUGAUUGUUCCAUGCUAUUAUAUUACCUGUUUUGGAUGUUUAAUGGGCUUUACUAUGCACUUUUAUAUUAUUUUCGGGACUAACCUAUCAAUCGGAGGCCCAGACCAAAUUGUUUUUUUGCCUAUUUCAGUGUUUCGCAGAAAAGGAAUAUCAAACGGUGUUCAAACCUAAUGAAACCUUCGGGAGAGUUAUUUUUGGAACAAAUGCAAUCCAGGAGACUUGGAGUGGACGUCAGGUAAGCAACAAGGUGGCCACGAGGGUCCAGGGCAAGCCCUACCCCCUGGGCGCGCCCCCACCCUCGUGGGCCCCUUGUGGCUCCCCUGACUGACUUCUUUCACCUAUAUAUACUCUUAUACCCCCAAAACAGCCAGGAGCACCAUAGCUCGGGAGUUCCACCGCUGCAAGCCUCUAUAGCCACCAAAAACCUCUUGGGAGCCCGUUCCGGCACCCUGCCGGAGGGGGGAUCCAUCACCGGUGGCUAUCUUCAUCAUCCCGGCGCUCUCCAUGACGAGGAGGGAGUAGUUCACCCUCGGGGCUGAGGGUAUGUACCAGUAGCUAUGUGUUUGCUCUCUCUUUCUCUCUCUCUCUCUCUAUCUAUCUAUCUCUCUCGUGUUCUUGAUUUGGCACGAUCUUGAUGUAUCGCGAGCUUUGCUAUUAUAGUUGGAUCUUAUGAUGUUUCUACCCCUCUACUCUCUUGUAAUGGAUUGAGUUUUCCCUUUGAAGUUAUAUUAUCGGAUUGAGUCUUUAAGGAUUUGAGAACACUUGAUGUAUGUCUUGCAUGUGCUUAUCUGUGGUGACAAUGGGAUAUUCACGUGAUCUACUUGAUGUAUGUUUUGGUGAUCAACUUGCGGGUUUCAUGACCUCAUGAACUUAUGCAUAGGGGUUAGCACAUGUUUUCGUCUUGACUCUUUGGUAGAAACUUUGGGGCACUCUUUGAAGUACUUUGUGCUGGUUGAGUAGAUGAAUCUGAGAUUGUGUGAUGCAUAUCGUAUAAUGAUGCCCACAGAUACUUGAGGUGACAUUGGAGUAUCAAGGUGACAUUAGUGUUUUGGUUGAUUUGUGUCUUAAGGUAUUAUUCUAGUACGAACUCUAUGAUAGAUCGAAUGGAAAGAAUAGCUUCGUGUUAUUUUACUACGGACUCUUGAAUAGAUCGAUCAGAAAGGAUAAGUUUGAGGUGGUUUCGUACCCUCCAAUAAUCUCUUCGUUGGUUUUCCGCUAUUAGUGACUUUCGAGUGACUCUCUGUUGCAUGUUGAGGGAUAGUUAUAUGAUCCAAUUAUCUUAUUAUUGUUGAGGGAACUUGCACUGGUGAAAGUAUGAACCCUAGGCCUUGUUUCGAAGAAUUGCAAUACCAUUUACGCUCACUUUUACCACUUGUUACCUUGCUGUUUUUAUAUGUUCAGAUUACAAAUACUCAUAUCUACCAUGCAUAUUUCACUUGUAUCACCAUCUCUUCGCCGAACUAGUGCACCUAUACAAUUUACCAUUGUAUUGGGUGUGUUGGGGACACAAGAGACUCUUUGUUAUUUUGUUGCAGGGUUGUUUGAGAGAGACCAUCUUCAUCCUACGCCUCCCAUGGAUUGAUAAACCUUAGGUCAUCCACUUGAGGGAAAUUUGCUACUGUCCUACAAACUUCUGCACUUGGAGGCCCAACAACGUCUAAAAGAAGAAGGUUGUGUAGUAGACAUCAAGCUCUUUUCUGGCGCCGUUGCCGGGGAGGUGAGUGCUUGAUGGUAUAUCUUUAGAUCUUGCAAUCGAAUGUUAUUGUUUCUUGUUUUAUCACUAGUUUAGUUUAUAAAAGAAAACUACAAAAAAAUGGAAUUGAGUUUGCCUCAUACGCUUCAUCUUUUUAAUAUCUUUCAUGAGAAUGAUUGUAAGUAAAAUUGUGCUCAAGUGCUAGAAGAAGAAGUCUAUAAAAUGUUUGGCACCAAAUCUUUGAAUGAGGAUCAUGAUUGCAAUGUUAUUAGUAUGAACUCUUUGAAUAUCCAUGGUACUAAUGAUGAGUGCACUAGUCAUGAUGAAAAUGUCCCUUAUAAGCAUGUCAAUUUUUGUGGAGUGCAUAGAGUUUGCAAGUACACACCAAAUAGGGAAGAUAGAUUUACAAGAGGCAUAACUAUUUAGAAACCAAAUGGUUGCAAGAAAUGCUAGAUGCUUGUGCUGAAAAUUUAAAAUUUCUUUGCCAUCUUUAUGAACUUUGCAAUGAACGUGAUCAUUUAAAUACGCAAUGCAAAUUGUUUCAUGAUCAAAUCGUGUCCAAAAGUUGUGAUGACUUGAUUUCCCUUGCACAUCAUAAUAAGUUAGUUUGCUUAUGGGUUAUGUAGAAAUGAAAUGUAUAACUAAGGAUAUGCCCGAAUUUGUCCUUGAUAAAGUUUUUGAUUUUGAUCUAGAAGAAAUUUUUAUGUAUUGUGUGGUGAAUUGCAUUGAAAAUCCUUAUAUUGCCAAUUACAUAAAGAAAAGAAAACAAAUAGAAGAUGAAGAGAAUCCUAAUGAAAGGUAAGAGACUUCCCAAUAUCCUCCUAUUAUUUCUUAUGAUGAAUCAGGUAACGAGGAGGAGCUUUCUAUUCAACCAAUCUCAUUAAUAAGGAGCUCAAAAAAGAGGGUUAAACCCACACAUGAUGUGAAGAAGAAAAAUAAAAGACGGAGAAGGAAAGGUAGAAAGGUAUCCCUCCCAAAUGAUGUUGCUCCUAUUACUCAUUGUGAUGAUGAUAAUUGAUAUACUAUUGGUGCUAUCCAUACUAUUAAUGAUGAGAGUGAUUGUGCUUAUGGUACGAAAAGGCCCAAGCUUGGGGAUGCUAUGUUUGAUGAGAAUGACAUGUUUUAGAAUAUAUUUGCUGCAAUUAAUGUUUGUCCCACGCUUGGGGAUGCUAUGUUUAAGGAAGAUAAUAUUUUUAGCCUCCCAAGUUUUGAUGAGCAAAUUUAUUAUUAUGAUAGCAUGCCUCCUAUUUAUGAUGAUUAUAUUGAUAAAAGUGGGUUUGGAAGAGUGUCAACUUUAGGAAGUAAUGAUCCCACUAUUUUGGAUGAUGUUGAAUCUUAUUGUGAUAAUUAUGAAAGUGGAUUAGGAUAGGUCAUGACUUUAUUUAGUAAUGAUUCCACUGUCUUGGAAUAGGUUUCAAUUGAUUAUGAUUAGAACAAAGUUGCUACUUAUGAUGAUUAUUGUGAUGAUACUUAUGCUAUAAAAAGUAGUGAUGAUUAUAUUUAUAACUUGUCAUGAUUAUUAUUACCCUUUUUCUUUUAACAUUACUCUUUUAAUGUGGACACAAAUUAUAUUAUUCGAGUCUCUUAUGAUACUCCCACUAUUCCGAAUGAGAAGAAUUUUGCUUAUGUGGAGAGUAGUAAAUUUUCUCUGCUUGUGCAUCAUGAAAAUAGUUCUUUAUGUGAUGGUUAUACUUCUGAAUUCAUUCGUGAUGCUACUUAAAAUUAUUAUGAGGGAGGAAUAUAUGCUUGUAGGAAUUGCAAUAAUAUCAAGUUUCCUCUCUAUGUGCUUAAAGUUUUGAAGUUAUGCUUGUUUUGCCUUCCUAUGCUAGUUGAUUAUUGUUCCCAUAAGUUGUUUGCUCACAAAAUCCCUAUGCAUAGGAAGUGGGUUAGACUUAAAUAUGCUAGUCAUAUUCUUCAUGAUGCUCUCUUUAUGUUUCAAUUCUUAUCUUUUAUGUCAGCAUCAUUGAAAUCAUCAUGCCUAGCUAGGGGAGUUAAACGUUAGCGCUUGUUGAGAGGCAACCCAAUUUUAUUUUUGUUCUUUGAUUUUUGUUCCUGUUUAGUAAUAAAUAAUUCAUAUAUCCUAUGGUUAGAUGUGGUUUUAUGUUUUAAUUAGUGUUUGUGCCAAGUAGAACCUUUGGGAAGACUUGGGUGAAGUCUAUGCGAUCUUGCUGUAAAAAACAGAAAAUUUUGCGCUCAUGAGAUUAGCUGCCUUUUUUACUAGAGAGUGACUUUAGGUUGAUUCUUUUUGAAGAUGAGUAAUAGGCAAAUUCCUUAGGUCCAACAAUUUAUUUCAGAAUUUUUGGAGUUACAUAAGUAUUCGAAUAUACCGAUUACUACAGACUGUUCUGUUUUUGACAAAUUCUGUUUUCUAUGUGUUGUUUGCUUAUUUUGAUGAAUCUAUGAGUAGGAUCGGAGGGUAUGAACCAUAGAGAAUUUGGAAUACAGUAUAUAUUACACCAAUAUGAAUUUAGAAUGAGUUCACAACAGUACCUAAGUGGUGAUUUAUUUUCUUAUACUAACGGAGCUUAUGAGUUUUGUGUUGAGUUUUGUGUUGUGAAGUUUUCAAGUUUUGGGUAAAGAUUCGAUGGACUAUGGAAUAAGGAGUGGCAAGAGACUAAGCUUGUGUAUUCCCAAGGCACCCGAAGGUAAUAUUCAAGGACAACCAAGAGCCUAAGCUUGGGGAUUCCCCGGAUGGCAUACCCUCUUUCGUCUUCGUUCAUCGGUAACUUUACUUGGAGCUAUAUUUUUAUUGACCACAUGAUAUGUGUUUUGUUUGGAGCGUCAUUUUAUUUUCUUUUGUUUUGCUUGCUGUUUGAAUAAAAUACCAAGAUCUGAAAUUCUUAAAUCUUAGAGAGUCUUCACAUAGUUGAACAAUUAUUAGAAUACUCUAUGUGCUUCACUCAUAUCUUUUGGAGUAUUUUGUCAUUUGCUCUAGUGCUUCACUUAUACCUUUUUAGAGCACGGUGGUGGUUUUAUUUUGUAGAAAUUAUUGAUCUCUCAUGCUUCACUUAUAUUAUUUUGAGAGUCUUUUAGAACAGCAUGGUAAUUUGCUUUGGUUAUAAAAUUGGUCCUAAUAUGAUGGGCAUCCAAGUUGGGUAUAAUAAAAACUACCAUAUCAAGUGUAUUGAAAACUAUGAUAAAAUUGAUACUUGAUAAUUGUUUUGAGAUAUAAAGGUGGUAAUGUUAGAGUCAUGCUAGUUGGGUAAUUAUGAAAUUGAGAAAUACUUGUGUUAAAGUUGGCAAGUCCCGUAGCAUGCACGUAUGGUGAACGUUGUGUGAGAAAAUUGUAGCAUGGGGUGCUCUUUGAUUGUCUUCCUUAUGAGUGGAGGUCGGGAUCGCGCGAUGGUUAACUCCUACCAACCCUUCAUCUAGGAGCAUGCAUAGUAGUACUUUCCUUUGAGGGAUAAUAAACUUUUGCAAUAUGUAUAUGAGUUCUUUAUGACUAAUGUGAGUCCAUGGAUUAUGCGCACUCUUACCCUUCCACAAUUUGCUAGCCUCUACGGUACCGUGCAUUGCCCUUCCUCACCUUGAGAGUUAGUGCAAACUUCGCCGGUGCAUCCAAACCCCGUGAUAAGAUACACUCUAUCACACAUAAACCUCCUUAUAUCUUCCUCAAAACAGCCACCAUACCUACCUAUUAUGGCAUUUCCAUAGCCAUUCCGAGAUAUAUUGCCAUGCAACUUUACACCGUUCCGUUUAUCAUGACACGCACCAUCAUUGUCAUAUUGCUUUUGCAUGACCAUGUAGUUGACAUCGUAUUCGUGGCAAAGCCACCUUUAUAAUUCUUUCAUACAUGUCGCUCUUGAUUCAUUGCAUAUCCCGGUACACCGCCAGAGGCAUUCACAUAGAAUCAUAUUUUGUUCUAAGUAUCGAGUUGUAAUUCUUGAGUUGUAAAGUAAAUAAAAGUGUGAUGAUCUUCAUUAUUAGAGCAUUGUCCCAAGUGAGGAAAGGAUGAUGGAGACUAUGAUUCCCCCACAAGUCGGGAUGAGACUUCGGACUUUAUGAAAAAUAAAAGAGGCCAACGAAGCCCCAAAAAAAGAGGGCAAAAAAGCCCACCAAAAUAAAAAAAUGAGAGAAAAAGAGAGAAGGGACAAUGUUACUAUCCUUUUUCCACACUUGUGGUUCAAAGUAGCACCAUGAUCUACAUGAUAGAGAGUCUCCUAUGUUGUCACUUUCAUAUACUAGUGGGAAUUUUUCAUUAUAGAACUUGGCUUGUAUAUUCCAAUGAUGGGCUUCCUCAAAAUUCCCUAGGUCUUCGUGAGCAAGCAAGUUGGAUGCACACCCACUUAGUUUCUUUUGUUGAUAUUUCAUACAUUUAUAGCUCUAGUGCAUCCGUUGCAUGGCAAUCCCUACUCCUCAUGUUGGCAUCAAUUGAUGGGCAUCUCCAUAGCCUGUUGAUUAGCCUCGUCAAUGUGAGACUGUUUUUAUCUUCUCCAAACAACCUCCAUCAUCAUAUUCUAUUCCACCCAUAGUGCUAUAUCCAUGGCUUACGCUCAUGUAUUGCGUGAGAGUUGAAAAAAAGCUAAAUCGCGUUAAAAAGUAUGAACCAAUUGCUGCGCUGAAACCGGGGUUGUGCAUGAUGGGAGUAUUUUGUGUGAGGAAAAUGAAGCAUAGCCUAACUAUAUGAUUAUGUAGGGAUAAGCUUUCUUUGGCUAUGUUAUUUUGAUAAGACAUGAUUACUCAUUAGUAUGCUUGAAGUAUUACUAUUUUUAUGUCAAUAUGCACUUUUAUUUUGAAUCAUUUGGAUCUGAACACUCAUGCCACAAUAAAGAAAAUUACAUUGAGAAAUAUGAUAGGUAGCAUUCCACAUAAAAAAUUCUAUUUUAAUCAUUUACCUACUCGAGGACGAGCAAGAAUUAAGCUUGGGGAUGCUUGAUACGUCUCCAACGUAUCUAUAAUUUUUCAUUGUUCCAUGCUAUUAUAUUACCCGUUUUGGAUGUUUAAUGGGCUUUACUAUGCACUUUUAUAUUAUUUUUGGGACUAACCUAUUAACCGGAGGCCCAGCCCAAUUUGCUGUUUUUUUGGCCUAUUUCAGUGUUUCGCAGAAAAGGAAUAUCAAACGGAGUCCAAAUGGAAUGAAACCUUCGAGAGAGUUAUUUUUGGAACAAACGCAAUCCAUGAGACUUGGAGUGGACGUCAGGAAGCAACGAGGUGGCCACGAGGGUCCAAGGCGCGCCCUACCCUCCUGGGCGCGCCCCCACCCUCGUGGGCCCCUCGUGGCUCCCCCGACGGACUUCUUUUGCCUAUAUAUACUCUUAUACCCCGAAAACAUCCAGGAGCACCAUAGAUCGCGAGUUCCGCUGCCGCAAGCCUCUAUAGCAACCAAAAACCUCUCGGGAGCCCGUUCCGGCACCCUGCUGUAGGGGGGAUCCAUCACCGGUGGCCAUCUUUAUCAUCCCGGCGCUCUCCAUGACGAGAGGAGAAUAGUUCACCCUCGGGGCUGAGGGUAUGUACCAGUAGCUAUGUGUUUGAUCUCUCUCUCUCUCUCAUGUUCUUAAUUUGGCACGAUCUUUAAGUAUCACGAGCUUUGCUAUUAUAGUUGGAUCUUAUGAUGUUUCUCCCCCUCUACUCUCUUGUAAUGGAUUGAGUUUUCCCUUUGAAGUUAUAUUAUCGGAUUGAGUCUUUAAGGAUUUGCGAACACUUGAUGUAUGUCUUGCAUGUGCUUAUCUGUGGUGAGAAUGGGAUAUUCACGUGAUCUACUUGAUGUAUGUUUUGGUGAUCAACUUGCGGGUUUCGUGACCUCGUGAACUUAUGCAUAGGGCUUGGCACACGUUUUCGUCUUGACACUUCAGUAGAAACUUUGGGGCACUCUUUGAAGUACUUUGUGUUGGUUGAAUAGAUGAAUAUGAGAUUGUGUGAUGCAUAUCGUAUAAUCAUGCCCACGGAUACUCGAGGUGACAUUGGAGUAUCUAGGUGACAUUAGGGUUUUGGUUGAUUUGUGUCUUAAGGUGUUAUUCUAGUACGAACUCUAUGAUAGAUCGAACGGAAAGAAUAGCUUCAUGUUAUUUUACUACGGACUCUUGAAUAGAUCGAUCAGAAAGGAUAACUUUGAGGUGGUUUUGUACCCUACAAUAAUCUCUUCGUUUGUUCUCCUCUAUUAGUGACUUUGGAGUGACUCUUUGUUGUAUGUUGAGGGAUAGUUAUAUGAUCCAAUUAUGUUAUUAUUGUUGAGAGAACUCGCACUAGUGAAAGUAUGAACCCUAGCCCUUGUUUUGAAGCAUUGCAAUACCGUUUAUGCUCACUUUUACCACUUGUUACCUUGCUUUUUUUAUAUUUUCAUAUUACAAAUACUCAUAUCUACCAUCCAUAUCGUACUUGUAUCGCCAUCUCUUCUCCGAACUAGUGCACCUAUACAAUUUACCAUUGUAUUGGGUGUGUUGGGGACACAAGAGACUCUUUGUUAUUUGGUUGCAGGGUUGUUUGAGAGAGACCAUCUUCAUCCUACGCCUCCCACAGAUUGAUAAACCUUAGGUCAUCCACUUGGGGGAAAAUUGCUACUGUCCUACAAACCUCUGCACUUGGAGGCCCAACAACGUUUACAAGAAGAAGGUUGUGUAGUAGACAUCAGUAGGCAUAGCGCUCAAGUUUAUCUUUACUAACUUAGGUGCCCCCGAGAUGGUGUGCGGAUCAGAUGGAUUGUUUGGAGGUGUUGGUGGAUGAGUGGUGCUCAGACCAAUGGCUACCCCUCCACAGCAAUGCUAAGGACCGGCAUGCCCAAAUGGAAGGUGUGCCACACCAUCAAGGCAGCGCCAACUUAUAUCAGUCCGGGCGGAACAGGGUAUGUGGUUUGCUUCAUGAUUCAUGCAAUUCAUUCUUCAUGCUAGCUUCAGCCCUUUAAUUACUAAUUUAGUCUAUUCCUCUCUUUUAGGAGCGACACAAUAAGGCGGAGGUGCCAGAGGUGUACAACCUCUAUGCCAUGGACCAUACUGCCUCGUAGAAGAAGGUCAAGGCAUUCUCUUCGUCUAACCUCGAUCAUCCAGAGAACUUCACUAACAUCUCCCACAACAAGCUCAUGAGCUACAGAGAUGAGGGGAGGACUUUAACCCGAGCAAGGGUCCCAUUGAUCUAGAUCUGCUGAUGAUAUCUGGUGGCGGAAGGUCCCAUGGCUCAAUAUCCAUUGUAGAUGGACUUAUACAUUGUCCUAGCACUCUCCCAGAGAUCAAGACAUGCCAGACGAGCUCCACUCCUGAGAUAAGGCCUCAUCAACGGCCAGUCUGGCUCGCCUUUGAGGUUAGUUAUAUGGACUCAGCUAUCUUUCCUACAUUACAUUGUGUGUGCGGCCAUCGAUUAUUACAAUGCUAACAUGGAGUGGUGUUGCAGGCUGCUCUUCAGAGAGAGAGAGAGAGAGAGAGAGAACCCAUGCGCUUCUGGCGGAGAGGGACCGGUAGGCGGCGAAGAAGGAGUGGGAGUUGGAGGAGAGGACGGCUAGGAUGUUGGAGGAGGAGAGGGAACGGAAAGACAUGCAGAACCGGGGCAUGUACGAGCUCCUCAUGGUAAGUUUCUUCUGCAUAUUAGCCAAAUCAUGCACGUAAUGUUUGUUUCAUUACUAACUAGUAUGACUGACUCGUCAAAACCAAAUGUGCAGUCUGUGUGCGAGAAGACUGGUCAGACCCCUCCGCCAAUGCCAUUCAUUGCUCCGGGGACCAUGGUGAGUUUCAUUUGAAUUUUCAUUAGUUACUACUCUUAACAUUUGAGUGUCAUCAUGCUAACAAGACACUGCAAAUGAUCUUCGGUGCAGCGUAAUUCCAGACAAGCAUCGCACGAUCCUUCUCCAGGUGGUACUGGCACGAGCCACCCCGGUGCUUCACCUCUGUAAUGACGGUAAGUUUUCUCUAGUGUUUUACUUAACAAAUGCAUAAUGACCUAGACUUAUCUUUAUUUUCUCCAAUAUGCUUACCAUAAUGACCUAAGUUAGCUCUAAUAUGCUUAGUUACCUAGUUAGCUCAAUAAUGAUCUAUACUUAGCUUACUUAUGUCAAAAAUGGCAUAAUUACCUAGGCUAGCUCCAAAAUGAACCAUUUUACCUAAGUUAGCUCCAAGAUGAUCUAUUUUACCUAAGUUAGCUCCAAAAUGACCUAAGUUAGUUCUAAUAUGCUUAAUUACCUAGGUUAGCUCAAUAAUGACCUAUACUUAGCUUACUUAUGUCAAAAAUGGCAUAAUAUGCUUAGUUAACUAAAAAAUGGCAUAAUUACCUACAUUAGCUCCAAAAUGAACCAUUUUACCUAAGUUAGCUCCAAAAUUAUCCAUUUUACCUAAGUUAGCUCCAAAAUGAUCCAUUUUACCUAAGUUAGCUCUAAUAUGCUUAGUUACCUAGGUUAGCUCAAUAAUUCCUAUACUUAGCUUACUUAUGUAAAAAAUGGCAUAAUAUGCUUAGUUAACUCAAAAUGGCAUAAUUACCUACGUUAGCUCCGAAAUGAACCAUUUUACCUAACUUAGGUCCAAAUUAAUCCAUUUUACCUAACUUAGCUCCAAAAUGACCUAAGUUAGCUCUAAGUUACCUCUAAUAUGCUUAGUUACCUAGGUUAGCUCAAUAAUGACCUAUACUUAGCUUACUUAUGUCAAAAAUGGCAUAAUAUGCUUAGUUAACUCAAGAAUGGUAUAAUUACCUAGGUUAGCUCCAAAAUGAUCCAUUUUUACCUAAGUUAGGUCCAAAAUGAUCCAUUUUACCGAGGUUAGCUCCAAAAUGAUCCAUUUUACCUAUGUUAGCUCAUAAAUGAUCAAUUUUACCUAAGUUAGCUCAUAAGUGGUCCAUUUUACCUAAGUUAGCUCAUAAAUAAUCAAUUUUACCUAAGUUAGCUCAUAAAUGGUCCAUUUUGCCAAAGUUAGCUCAUAAAUGUCAUUUUUACCUAAGUUAGCUCAUAAAUGAUCCAUUUUACCUAAGUAGCUCAUAAAUGUCAUUUUUACCUAAGUUAGCUCAUAAAUGUCUUAUACUUCUCCUCCUCCUCCUCCUCCUCCUCCUCCUCCUUCUUCUUCUUCUUCUUCUUCUUCUUCUUCUUAUUCUUCUUCUUGUUCUUGUUCUUCUUCUUCUUUUUCUAACUAUCUUAUUUCCCAUUUUGUAGAUUUCAUUCACUUCACGGAAGCUUGCAUAGAUGGGGUGCUUGUUUUCCCUUUCUGUUUUUCUUUUGUAUCAAUGAAAAAUGUGGAUUUUUAUAUGGAUGAAACUGUUGUAAUGUGUAUGGUUGGAUGCCUACGUUGAACUUUCUAUGUAUGGUGGGAUGGAACUAUGCAUGUAUGAUGAAACUUAUAUGUGUUGGGUAUCUCAUAUGUUUGCUGUGAAAUUGCCCUGUGAUAUAUAUUUGUUGUGAAAAUGCUUGGAUAUAAGAAAAAAUAGAAUAAAAAGAGGUAAUGCAGGCUCUUUGCCGUCUGCCACUGACGGCUAAGUGGCCAUGUGGCAGCAACCUGUGCAACCUGGGAAAGACUAAAGGGAAGUUUGUUGUCUGUGGCAGACGACAAAGGCUAGGGCGGUUUGCCUUCCGUGGCAGACGACAAAGAGCGGGGAGGGCAUGAUGCGUCUACUGACAUUAGAUGGCAGACGACAAAGGACGGGGCAUAAUUGCCAUCAGCUGGCAGACGGCAAAGCCUCCUGUUAGCCACCUAACAUGGCUAACGUCUGUUCUUUGAGGUCCACCUUCUUUGCCGUCCGUUGUGCGAAAACAGAUGGCAAAUCAGUUGUUUACCGUAACUUACAGUGUCGGACAGGUUUGCCGUCCGUGGCUGACGGCAAAGACUUUGCCAUCAGCUUUUGAGUCCUUUGCCGUCUGCCAUGGCAGGCGGCAAAUCAGCUGAUUCAUGUAGUGUGUGCAUCAGCAGUGUGAGCACGACAACAAACGCCAUGAGCUCCUCCAGAAAACGUUCCAUCUCGCAAGCACCCCUAGUAUUCGUGUUACAUUCCUCCUUUAGUGGUGGACAAUGAUUUAGAGCCGCCACCACCCGAGCUUCGUAUUCUCUGGUGCUUAGGGCACUUCGGUCCCUGACUCGCUAGUCCAUAAAACAAGGUGUAUAAGUGCCUCCACCAUGCAAAAUGUGUCAUCCACAAAGCUACAAGAGUGCGGUGAAGCUCUUGUACUAUGUCAAGAAAGGACCCAUACCACCCUACAGUGAUGGCCAAGGCCAUCCGUUAUAAGGUGACAAAGAUGGAUGAUCUCUACUACACAACCUUCUUGUAGACGUUGUUGGGCCUCCAAGUGCAGAGGUUUGUAGGAAAGUAGCAAAUUUCCCUCAAGUGGAUGACCUAAGGUUUAUCAAUGCAUGGGCGGCGUAGGAUGAAGAUGGUCUCUCUCAAACAACCCUACAACCAAAUAACAAAGAGUCUCUUGUGUCCCAAACACACCCAAUACAAUGGUAAAUUGAAUAGGUGCACUAGUUUGGUGAAGAUAUGGUGAUACAAGUGCAAUAUGGAUGGUAGAUAUAGGUUUUUGUAAUAUGAAAUUAUAAAAACAGCAAGGUAGCAAGUGGUAAAAGUGAGCGAAAACGGUAUUACAAUGCUUCGAAACAAGGCCUAGGGUUCAUACUUUCACUAGUGCAAGUUCUCUCUGUUGGAAAUAUGCCCUAGAGGCAAUAAUAAAAUGGUUAUUAUUAUAUUUCCUUGUUCAUGAUAAUUGUCUAUUGUUCAUGCUAUAAUUGUAUUAACGGGAAACAGUAAUACAUGUGUGAAUACAUAGACCACAACAUGUCCCUAGUGAUCCUCUAGUUUACUAGCUCGUUGAUCAAUAGAUGGUUAUGGUUUCCUGACCGUGGACAUUGGAUGUCAUUGAUAAUGGGAUCACAUCAUUAGGAGAAUGAUGUGAUGGACAAGACCCAAUCCUAAGCAUAGCACAAGAUCGUAUAGUUCGUUUGCUAAGAGCUUUUCGAAUGUCACGUAUCAUUUCCUUCGAGCAUGAGAUUGUGCAACUCCCAGAUACCAUAGGAAUGCUUUGGGUGUACCAAACGUCACAACGUAACUGGGUGGCUAUAAAGUUGCACUAUAGGUAUCUCCGAAAGUGUCUAUUGGGUUGGCACGAAUCGAGACUGGGAUUUGUCACUCCGUAUGACGGAGAGGUAUCUCUAGGCCCACUCGGUAAUGCAUCAUCAUAAUGAGCUCAAUGUGACUAAGUAGUUAGUCACGGGAUCAUGCAUUAUGGAACGAGUAAAGUGACUUGCCGGUAACGAGAUUGAACGAGGUAUUGGGAUACCGACGAUCGAAUCUCGGGCAAGUAACGUACCAAUUGACAAAGGGAAUUGUAUACGGGAUUGCUUGAAUCCUUGACAUCGUGGUUCAUCCAAUGAUAUCAUCGUGGAACAUGUGGGAGCCAACAUGGGUAUCUAGAUCCCGCUGUUGGUUAUUGGCCGGAGAACGUCUCGGUCAUGUCUGCAUGGUUCCCGAACCCGUAGGGUCUACACACUUAAGGUGUGGUGACGCUAGAGUUGUUAUGGGAAAUAGUAUGUGGUUACUGAAGGUAGUUCGGAAUCCCGGAUGUGAUCCCGGACGUCACGAGGAGUUCUGAAAUGGUCCGGCAGUGAAGAUCGAUAUAUUGGACGAAGGGUAUUGGAGUCCGGAAGUGUUCCGGGGGUACCAGGCUAUGGCCAGCAUGACCGAAAGGUGUUUCAGGAGCCUCGGCAAGUGUUGGAGGUCCUCAUGGGCCAAAGGGGAAGGGGAAAACCAGCCCACUAAGGGGUGGUGCGCCCCCGACACCCUUUCCCACAUUAUUUGGGGAGGUGGGGCACCUCGACCUGGCUUUGGAGGCAAUCGUCCACCUGCUUGGCUUGGGGGGGAAGUCUCCCUAGGAUUUUCCCUAGGGAGAUCCAAUCUGCUUGGCCGCCGCCCCCUAGGGGAAACCCUAGGGCGCCUCCCCCUCUCCCCUUGACCCUAUAUAUAGUGGAGGGGUGGGAGGGCAGCCGCACCUCUUCCCUGGCGCAGCCCUCUCCCUCCUCCAACACCUCCUCCUCCUCCGUAGUGCUUGGCGAAGCCUUGCAGGAGAACCACGAGCUCCACCGCCACCACGCCGUCGUGCUGUUGGAGUUCUCCCUCAACUUCUCCUCUCCGCUUGCUGGAGAAAGAAGGAGGAUACGUCCCCGGGCUGUACGUGUGUUGAACGCGGAGGCACCAUUGUUCGGUGCUUAGAUCGUAUUCGACCGCGAGCUGAAUCGCUUCGUGUACGACUCCGCCGACCGCGUUCUUGUAACGCUACCGCAUCGCAAUCUUCAAGGGUAUGAAGAUACACUCAUCCUCUCCCUCUCUUGUUGCUAGAAUCUCCAUAGACUGAUCUUGGUGAUGCGUAGAAAAUUUUGUAUUUCUUCUACGUUCCCCAACAGUGGCAUCAUGAGCUAGGUCUAUGCGUAGUUUCUAUGCACGAGUAGAACACAAGUUGUUGUGGGCGUCGGUUUUGUCGGUUUACUUGCCACUACUAGUCUUAUCUUUAUUCAGCGGCAUCGUGGGAUGAAGCGGCCCGGACCGACCUUACACGUACGCUUACAUGAGAUAGGUUCCACCGACUGACAUGCACUAGUUGCAUAAGGUGGCUAGCGGGUGUCUGUCUCUCCCACUUUAGUUGGAUUGGAUUCGAUGAAAAGGGUCCUUAUGAAGGGUAAAUAGCAAUUGGCAUAUCACAUUGUGGUUUUGGCGUAGGUAAGAAACGUUCUUGCUAGAAACCUAUAGCAGCCACGUAAAAACUUGCAACAACAAUUAGAGGACGUCUAACUUGUUUUUGCAGCAUAUGCCGUGUGAUGUGAUAUGGCCAAAAGGAUGUGAUGAAUUGUAUAUAUGUGAUGUAUGAGAUUGAUCAUGUUCUUGUAAUAGGAAUCACGACUUGCAUGUCAAUGAGUAUGACAACUGGCAAGAGCCAUAGGAGUUGUCUUAAUUUAUUGUAUGACCUGCGUGUCAUUGAAUAACGCCAUGUAAUUACUUUACUUUAUUGCUAAAUCGUUAGCCAUAGUAGUAGAAGUAAUAGUUGGCGAGACAACUUCAUGAAGACACGAUGAUGGACAUCAUGGUGUCAUGCCGGUGACGAAGGUGAUCAUGCCAUGCCUCAAGAUGGAGAUCAAAGGCGCAAGAUGAUAUUGGCCAUAUCAUGUCACUUUAUGAUUUGCAUGUGAUGUUUGUCAUGUUUACAUCUUAUUUGCUUAGAACGACGGUAGCAUAAAUAAGAUGACCCCUCUUAAAUUUUCAAGAAAGUGUCCCCCCCUAAAUGUGCACCGUUGCGAAAGUUCGUUGUUUCGAAGCACCACGUGAUGAUCGGGUGUGAUAGAUUCUAAUAUUCGCAUACAACGGGUGUAAGCAAGAUUUACACAUGCAAAACACUUAGGUUGACUUGACGAGCCUAGCAUGUACAGACAUGGCCUCGGAACACAAGAGACCGAAAGGUCGAACAUGAGUUGUAUAGUGGAUACGAUCAACAUGAAGAUGUUCACCGAUGAUGACUAGUCCGUCUCACGUGAUGAUUGGACACGGCCUAGUUGACUCGGAUCAUGUAUCACUUGGAUGACUAGAGGGAUGUCUAUCUGAGUGGGAGUUCAUUAAAUAAUUUGAUUAGAUGAACUUAAUUAUCAUGAACAUAGUCAAAAGGUCUUUGCAAAUUAUGUCGUAGCUCAUGCUUUGGUUCUACUAUUUUAGAUAUGUUCCUAGAGAAAAUUUUAGUUGAAAGUUGAUAGUAGCAAUUAUGCGGACUGGGUCCGUAAACUGAGGAUUGUCCUCAUUGCUGCACAGAAAGCUUAUGUCCUUAAUGCACCGCUCGGUGUGCUGAACCUCGAGCAUCGUUUGUCGAUGUUGCGAACAUCUGACAUACACGUUUUGAUGACUACGUGAUAGUUCACUGCGUAAUGUUAAACGGUUUAGAAUUGAGGCACCGAAGACAUUUUUGAUACGUCACAGAACAUAUGAGAUGUUACAAGAGCUGAAAUUGGGAUUUCGGGCUUGUGCCCACGUCAAGAGGUAUGAGACCUUUGAUAAGUUUCUUAGCUUGCAAACUACGGGAGAAAAGCUCAAUCGUUGAGCAUGUGCUCAGAUUGUCUGAGUACUACAAUCGCUUGAAUUGAGUGGGAGUUAAUCUUCCAUAUGACAUAGUGAUAGUUCUCCAAAAAGUCACUGCCACCAAGCUACUAGAGCUUCGUGAUGAACUAUAACAUACCAGGGAUAAAUAUGAUGAUCCUUGAGCUGUUCGCGAUGUUUCACACCAUGAAAGUAGAAAUCAAGUAGGAGCAUCAAUUGUUGAUGGUUAGUAAAACCACUAGUUUCAAGAAGGGCAAGGGCAAGAAGGGAUACUUCAUGAAAUGGAAAAUCAGCUGCUACUCUAGUGAAGAAACCCAAGGUUGAACCCAAACCCAAGACUAAGUGCUUCUGUAAUGAGGGGAGCGGUCACUGAAGCAAAACUGCCCUAGAUACUUGGUAGAUGAGAAGGCUGGCAAGGUCGACAGAAGUAUAUUGGAUAUACAUUAUAUUAAUGUGUACUUUACUAGUACUCCUAGUAGCACGAGGGUAAUAGAUACCGAUUCGGUUGCUAAGUGUUGGUCGCUCGAAAUAAAAGGCUACGGAACAAAUAGAGACUAGCUAAACGUGAGAUGACGAUAUGUGUUGGAAGUGUUUCCAAGGCUGAUGUGAUCAAGCAACGCAUGCUCCCUCUACCAUCGAGAUUGGUGUUAAACCUAAAUAAUUGUUAUUUGCUAUUUGCAUUGAGCAUAGACAUGAUUAGAUUAUGUUUAUCGCAAAAAGGUUAUUCAUUUAAGGAGAAUAAUGGUUACUAUGUUUAUUUGAAUAAUACCUUCAAUGGUCUUGCACCUAAAAUGAAUGGUUUAUUGAAUCUCAAUUGUAGUGAUACACAUGUUCAUGCCAAAAGAUAUAAGAUAGUAAUGAUAGUACCACAUACUUGUGGCACUGCCACUUGAUUCAUAUUGGUAUAAAACGCAUGAAGAAGCUCCAUGUUUGAUGGAUCUUUGGACUCACUCGUUUUUGAAAAAGAUUGAGACAUGCAAACCAUGUCUAUUGGUAUAUAUGCAUGAAGAAACUCCAUACAGAUAGAUCAUUUGGACUCACUUGAUUUUGAAUCACUUGAGACAUGCAAAUCAUACCACAUGGGCAAGAUGACUGAAAGGCCUCGUUUUCAGUAAGAUGGAACAAGAAAGAAACUUGUUGGAAGUAAUACAUUUUGAUGUGUGCAGUCCAAUGAGUGCUGAGGCACGCAGUGGAUAUCGUUAUGUUCUUACUUCAUAGAUGAUUUGAGUAGAUGCUGAGUAUAUUUACUUGAUGGAACACAAGUCUGAAUUAUUGAAAGGCUCAAGUAAUUUCAGAGUGAAGUUGAAGAUCGUCGUGACAAGAGGAUAAAAUGUCUAUGAUAUGAUCAUAGAGAUCAGUAUCUGAGUUAUGAGUUUGGUAUACAAUUAAGACAUUGUGGAAAUUGUUUCACAACUAAUACCGCCUGGAACACCAUAGUGUGAUGGUGUGUCCGAACAUCAUAGCUGCACCCUAUUGGAUAUGGUGCAUACCAUGAUGUCUCUUAUCGAAUUACCACUAUCGUUUAUGGGUUAGGCAUUAGAGACAACGACAUUCACUUCAAAUAGGGCACCACGUAAUUCCGUUGAGAUGACAGCGUAUGAACUAUGGUUUAGAGAAACCUAAGCUAUCAUUUCUUAAAAAUUGGGGCUGCGAAGCUUAUGUGGAAAAGUUUUAGCUGGAUAAGCUCAAACCCAAAGCAGAUAAAUGCAUCUUCAUACGAUACCCAAAACAGUUGGGUAUACCUCCUAUUUCAGAUCCGGAAGCAAAAGUGAUUGUUUCCAGAAACGGGUACUUUCUCGAGGAAAAGUUUCUCUCGAAAGAAUUGAAUGGGAGGAUGGUGGAGUCUUGAUGAGGUUAUUGAACCGUCACUUAAACUAGUGUGUAGGAGGGCACAGGAAGUUGUUCCUGUGGUGCCUAGACCAAUUGAAGUGGAAGCUGAUGAUAUCGAUCAUGAAACUUUGGAUCAAGUCAAUACCAAAACUCGUAGGUUGACAAGGAUACGUACUACUUCAGAGUGGUACGUAAUCCUGUCUUGGAGGUCAUGUUGCUAGACAACAAUGAACCUAAGAGCUAUGGAGAAGCGAUGGUGGGCCCGGAUUCCGACGAAUGGCUCGAGGCCAUAAAAUCUGAGAGAGGAUCCAUGUAUGAAAACAAAGUAUGGACUUUGGAGGAACCACUUGAUGGUUGUAAGGCUGUUGUGUGCAGAUGGGUUUUAAAAGGAAGACGGACAAUGAUGAUAAGUAUCACCAUUAAGAAAGCUCGACUUGUCAUUAAGAUAUUUUCUGACAAGUUCAAGGAGUUGACUACGAUGAGACUUCCUCACUCGUAGCAAUGCUAAGAGUCUGUUGGAAUUAUAUUAGCAAUUACUGCAUUAUUUAUGAAAUCUUACAGAUAGGAUGUGAAAACAUUGUUUCCUCAACGAUUUUCUUGAGGAAAGGUUGUAUGUGAUACAACCAGAAGGUUUUGACAAUCCUGAAAGAUGCUAACAAGUAUGCAAAGCUCCAGCAAUCCUUCUAAGGACUAGAGUAAGCAUCUCGGAGUUAGAAUGUACACUUUGAUGAGAUGAUCAAAGAUUUUGGGUUUUAUACAAAGUUUAUGAGAAACUUGUAUUUCCAAAGAAGUGAGUGGGAGCACUAUAGAAUUUCUAAUGAGUAUAUGUUGUUGACAUAUUGUUGAUCAGAAUUGAUGUACAGUUUCUCGAAAGCAUAUAGGGUUAUUUGAAAAGUGUUUUUCAAUGGAAAACCUGGAUUGAGCUACUUGAACAUUGAGCAUCAAGAUCUAUAAGGAUAGUUCAAAAUCGCUUAAUAUUACUUUCAAAUGAACACAUACCGUGACAAGAUUUUGAAGGAGUUCAAAAUAGAUCGGCAAAGAAGGAGUUCUUGGCUGUGUUAUAAGGUGUGAGUAUUGAGUAAGACUCAAGACCUGACCACGGCAGAAUAGAGAGAAAGGACGAAGGCCGUCCCCUAUGCUUUAGACAUAGGCUCUACAGUAUGCAAUGCUAUGUACCGCACCUGAAGUGUGCCUUUCCAUGAGUCAGUCAAGGGGUACAAGUGUGGUCCAGGAAUGGAUCACAGGACAAUGGUCAAGGUUAUCCUUAGUAACUAGUGUACUAAGGAAUUUUCUCGAUUAUAGAGGUGGUAAAAGAGUUCGUCGUAAAUGGUUACAUCGAUGCAAACUUUGACGCUAAUCCGGAUGACUCUGCAUAGCAAACUGGAUUCGUAUAGUAGAGCAGUUAUUUGGAAUAGUUCCAAAUAGCGCGUGGAACCUGCAUCUACACGAUGACAUAGAGAUUUGUAAAGCACACACGGAUCUGAAAGGUUCAGACCUGUUGACUAAUAAACCUCUCUCACAAGCGAGAUAUGAUCAAACACCAUGGGUGUUGGAUUCAUUACAAUCACAUAAUGAUGUGAACUAGACUAUUGACUCUAGUGCAAGUGGGAGACUGUUGGAAAUAUUCCCUAGAGGCAAUAAUAAAAUGGUUAUUAUUAUAUUUCCUUGUUCAUGAUAAUUGUCUAUUGUUCAUGCUAUAAUUGUAUUAACUGGAAACCGUAAUACAUGUGUGAAUACAUAGACCACAACAUGUCCCUAGUGAGCCUCUAGUUGACUAGCUUGUUGAUCAAUAGAUGGUUAUGGUUUCUUGACCAUGGACAUUGGAUGCCAUUGAUAAUGGGAUCACAUCAUUAGGAGAAUGAUGUGAUGGACAAGACCCACUCCUAAGCAUAGCACCAGAUCGUAUAGUUCGUUUGCUAAGAGCUUUUCUAAUGUCAAGUAUCAUUUCCUUAGACCAUGAGAUUGUGCAACUCCCGGAUACCGUAGGAAUGCUUUGGGUGUACCAAACAUCACAAGGUAACUGGGUGGCUAUAAAGGUGCACUACAGGUAUCUCCGAAAGUGUCUGUUGGGUUGGCACGAAUCCAGACUGGGAUUUGUCACUCCGUAUGACGGAGAGGUAUCUCUGGGCCCACUCGGUAAUGCAUCAUCAUAAUGAGCUCAAUGUGACUAAGUAGUUAGUCACGGGAUCAUGCAUUAUGGAACGAGUAAAGUGACUUGCCGGCAACGAGAUUGAACGAGGUAUUGGGAUACCGACGAUCGAAUCUCGGGCAAGUAACGUACCGAUUGACAAAGGGAAUUAUAUACGGGAUUGCUUGAAUCCUUGACAUUGUGGUUCAUCCGAUGAGAUCAUCGUGGAACAUGUGGGAGCCGACAAGGGUAUCCAGAUCCCGCUGUUGGUUAUUGGACGGAGAACGUCUCAGUCAUGUCUGCAUGGUUCCCGAACCCGUAGGGUCUACAGACUUCAGUUUUUGUGACGCUAGAGUUGUUAUGGGAAAUAGUAUGUGAUUACCGAAGGUAGUUCGGAGUCCCGGAUGUGAUCCUGGAUGUCACGAGGAGUUCCGAAAUGGUCCGGCGGUGAAGAUCGAUAUAUUGGACGAAGGGUAUUGGAGUCCGGAAGUGUUCCGAGGGUACCAGGCUAUGGCCAGCAUGACUGAAAGGUGUUUUGGGAGCCUCGACAAGUGUUGGAGGGCCUCAUGGGCCAAAGGGGAAGGGGCAAACGAGCCCACUAAGGGGUAGUGCCCCCCCCCCACACCCUUUCCCACGUUAUUUGGGGAGGUGGGGCGCCUCCACUUGACUUGGGAGGCAAUCCUCCACCUGCUUGGCUUAGGGGGCAAGUCUCCAUAGGAUUUUCCCUAAGGAGAUCCAAUCUGCUUGACCGCCCCCCCUAGGGGAAACCCUAGGGCGCCUCCCCCUCUCCCCUUGCCCCUAUAUAUAGUGGAGGGGUGGGAGGGCAGCCGCACCUCUUCCCCAGGGCAGCCCUCUCCCUCCUCCAACACCUCCUCCUCCUCCGUAGUGCUUGGCGAAGACAUGCUGGAGAACCACGAGCUCCACCACCAGCACGCCGUCGUGCUGUCGGAGUUCUCCCUCAACUUCUCCUCUCCCCUUGCUGGAUCAACAAGGAGGAGACGUCCCCGGGCUGUACGUGUGUUGAACACGGAGGCACCGUUGUUCGGUGCUUAGAUCAGAUUCGACCAUGAUCUGAAUCGCUUCAUGUACGACUCCACCGACUGUGUUCUUGUAACGCUUCCGCAUCGCGAUCUUCAAGGGUAUGAAGAUACACUCAUCCUAUCCCUCUAUUGUUGCUAGAAUCUCCAUAGAUUGAUCUUGGUGAUGCGUAGAAAAUUUUAAAUUUCUGCUACGUUCCCCAACACUCUCAACAAUAAUAACAUAAUUGGAUCAUAUAACAAUCCCUCAACACGCAACCAAGAGUCACUCCAAAGUCACUAAUAGCGGAGAACAAACGAAGAUAUUAUUGUAGGGUACGAAACCAUCUCAAAGUUAUUCUUUCCAAUCAAUCCAUUGGGCUAUUCCUAUAAGUUACACAAACAACCCUAGAGUUCGUAGUAAAAUAACACCUUAAGACACACAUCAACCAAAACCCUAAUGUCACCUAGAUACUCCAAUGUCACCUCAAGUAUCUGCGGGUAUGAUUAUAUGAUAUGCAUCACACAAUCUCAGAUUCAUCUAUUAAAAUGACACAAAGAACUUCAAAGACUGCCCCAAAGUUUCUACCGGAGAAUCAAGACGAAAAUGUGUGCCAACCCCUAUGCAUAGAUUCCCAAGGUCACGAAACCCGCAAGUUGAUCCGCAAAACAUACAUCAAGUGAAUCAAUAGAAUACCCCAUUGUCACCAUGGGUAUCCCACGCAAGACAUACAUCAAGUGUUCUCAAAUCCUUAAAGACUCAAUCCGAUAAAAUAACUUCAAAGGAAAAACUUAAUCCAUUACAUGAAGGUAGAGGGGGAGAAACAUCAUACGAUCCAACUAUAAUAGCAAAGUUCACGAUACAUCAAGAUCGUGCCAAAUCAAGAACACGAGAGAGAGAGAGAGAGAGAGAGAGAGAGAGAGAGAUCAAACACAUAGCUACUGGUACAUACCCUCAGCCCCGAGGGUGAACUACUCCCUCCUCGUCAUGGAGAGUGUCGGGAUGAUGGAGAUAGCCACUGGUGAUGAUUCCCCCCUCCGACAGGGUGCCAAAACGGGGUAUAGAUUGGUUUUUGGUGGCUAUAGAGGCUUGCAGCGGCGGAACUCCCGGUCUAGGUUUAUUUCUUGGGGUUUCUGUAUUUAUAGGAAUUUUUGGCAUUGUUCUCAUGCCAGGGGGUGUUUCCGAGUCAUCCACAAGUUAGGGGGGCGCCCAUGUGGGUAGGGCGCACCCUCCACCCUCGUGGAUGGCUCGGGACUCUUCUGGCCCAGCUCUUCUACUUCAGGAGCUUCUUUUGGUCCAUAAAAAUCCACAAAAAUUGGCAGGUCAAUUGGACUCCGUUUGGUAUUCCUUUUCUGUAGAACUCAAAAAAAGGAAAAAGCCAGAAACUGGCACUAGGCUCUAGGCUAAAAGGUUAGUCCCAAAAAUCAUAUAAAAUAGCAUAUAAAUGCAUAUAAAACAUCCAAGAUGGAUAGUAUAAUAGCAUGGAACAAUAAAAAUUAUAGAAACGUUGGAGACGUAUCAAGCAUCCCCAAGCUUAAUUCCUGCUCGUCCUCAAGUAGGUAAAUGAUAAAAACAGAAUUUUUGAUGUGGAAUGCUACCUAACAUAUGUAUCCAUGGUAUUUCUUUUAUUAUGACAUGAAUGUUCAGAUCCGAAAGAUUCAAAACAAAAGUUUAAUAUUGACAUGAAAACAAUAAUACUUCAAGCAUACUAAGAAAGCAAUCAUCUCUUCUCAAAAUAGCAUGGCCAAAGAAAGUUAUUCCUACAAAAUCAUAUAGUCUGGCUAUGCUCUAUCUUCAUCACACAAAAUAUUUGAAUCAUGCACAACCCCGAUGACAAGCCAAGUAAUUGUUUCGUACUUUUGAUGUUCUCAAACUUUUUCAAUCUUCACGCAAUACAUGAGCGUGAGCCAUGGAUAUAGCACUAUGUUGGAAUAGAAUGGUGGUUGUGGAGAAGACAAAAAGGAGAACAUAGUCUCACAUCAACUAGGAGUAUCAACGGGCUAUGGAGAUUCCCAUCAAUAGAUAUCAAUGUGUGUGAGUAGGGAUUGCCAUGCAACGAAUGGACUAGAGCUAUAAGUGUAUGAAAGCUCAAAAAGAAACCAAGUGGGUGUGCAUCCAACUUGCUUGCUCAACAAGACCUAGGGCAUUUGAGGAAGCCCAUCAUUGGAAUAUACAAGACAAGUUCUAUAAUGAAAAUUUCCCACUAGUAUAUGAAAGUGACAACAUAGGAGACUAUCUAUCGUGAAGAUCUUGGUGCUACUUUGAAGCACAAGUGUGGUAAAAGGAUAGUAGCAUUGUCCUUUCUCUCUUUUUCUCUCAAUUGUUUUUAUUUUUUCGGGGCCUUCUCUUUUUUUGGCCUCUUUUUUUAUAAUUUUUUUUAUUUUUCGUCCGGAGUCUCAUCCCGACUUGUGGGGGAAUCAUAGUCUCCAUCAUCCUUUCCUCAUUGGGACAAUGCUCUAAUAAUGAAGAUCAUCACACUUUUAUUUUCUUUACAACUCAAGAAUUACAGCUCAAUACUUAGACAAAAAUAUGAUUCUAUAUGAAUGCCUCCGGCGGUGUUCCGGGAUGUGCAAUGAAUCAAGAGUGACAUGUAUGAAAGAAUUAUGAACGGUGGCUUUGCCAGAAAUACGAUGUCAACUACAUGAUCAUGCAAAGCAAUAUGACAAUGAUGAAGCGUGUCAUAAUAGACGGAACGGUGGAAAAUUGCAUGGCAAUAUAUUUGGGAAUGGCUAUGGAAAUGCCAUAAUAGGUAGGUAUGGUGGCUGGUUUGAGGAAGGUAUACGGUGGGUGUAUGGUACCGGCGAAAGUGGGGCGGUACAAGAGACGCUAGCAAUGGUGGAAGGGUGAGAGUGCGUAUAAUCCAUGGACUCAACAUUAGUCAAAAACAACUCACAUACUUAUUGCAAAAUCUAUUAGUUAUCGAAACGAAGUACUACGUGCGUGCUCCUAGGGGGAUAGAUUGGUAGGAAAAGACCAUCUCUCGUCCCCGACCGCUACUCAUAAGUAAGACAAUCAAUAAAUAAAUCAUGCUCCAACUUCAUCACAUAACGGUUCAUCAUACGUGCAUGCUACGGGAAUCACAAACUUUAACACAAGUAUCUCUCAAAUUCACAACUACUGUACUAGCAUGACUCUAAUAUCACCAUCUUCAUAUCUCAAAACAAUCAUAAGGAAUCAAACUUCUCAUAGUAUUCAAUGCACUUUAUAUGAAUGUUUUUAUUAUAUCCCUCUUGGAUGCCUAUCAUAUUACGACUAAAUUUAUAACUCAAGCAAAUUACCAUGCUGUUAUAAAGACUCUUAAAAUAAUAUAAGUGAAGCAUGAGAUUUCAUCAAUUUCUUCAAAAAUAAAACUACCAUCAUGCUCUGAAAAGAUAUAAGUGAAGCACUAGAGCGAACGACAAACUACUCCAAAAGAUAUAAGUGGAGAUCAAUGAGUAGUUGAACAAUUAUGCAACUAUGUGAAGACUCUAUAACAUUUAAGAAUUUCAGAUCUUGUGAUAUUACUCAAACAGCAAGAAAAACAAAAUAAAAUAAAAUGACGCUCCAAGCAAAACACAUAUCAUGUGGUGAAUAAAAAUAUAGCUCCAAGUAAAGUUACCAAUGAACGAAGACGAACGAGGGGAUGCCUUCCGGGGCAUCCCCAAGCUUAGGAUCUUGGUUGUCCUUGAAUAUUACCUUGGGGUGCCUUGGUCAUCCCUAAUCUUAGGCUCUUUCCACUCAUUAUUCCAUAGUCCAUUGAAUCUUUACCCAAAACUUGAAAACUUCACAACACAAAACUCAACAGAAAAUCUCAUAAGCUCCGUUAGUAUAAGAAAAUAAAUCAUGACUUUUGGUACUGUUUUGAAAUCAUUAUAAAUUCAUAUUUGUGUAAUAUAUACUGUAUUCCAACUUCUCUAUGGUUCAUACCGUCCGAUACUACUCAUAGAUUUAUCAAAAUAAGCAAACAACACAUAGAAAACAGAAUCUGUCAAAAAUAGAAUAGUCUGUAGUAAUCUGUAACUCUCGAAUACUUAUGUAACUCCAAAAAUUAUGAAAUAAAUUGGUGGACAUGAGGAAUUUUUAUAUUAAUAUUAUGCAAAAAUAAUCAACUCAAAACCACUCUUCUGUUAAAAAUGACAAUUAUUCUCAUGAGCACAAAGUUUCCGUUUUUUACAGCAAGAUCACACUGACUUUCACCCAAGUCUUCGCAAAGGUUCUACUUUGCACUUUAUUGAAACAAAAGCAAUAAAACAUGAUUACUACAGUACCUUAAUCAUGUGGACACACAAAAACAGUAGGGGUAAAUAUUGGGUUGUCUCCCAAAAAGCGCUUUUCUUUAAUGCCUUUUUAGGUAGGCAUGAUGAUGAUAAUGAUGCUCACAUAUAUAAAAGAUAAGAAUUGAAACAUAAUGAGAGAAUCAUGAAGCAUAUGACUAGCACAUUUAAGUCUAACCCACUUCCUAUGCAUAGGGAUUUUGUGAGCAAACAAUUCAUGGGAGCAAGAAUCAACUAGCAUAGGAAGGCAAAACAAGCAUAACUUCAAGAUUUUCAACACAUAGAGAGGAAACUUAAUAUUAUUGCAAUUACUACAAGCUUAUGUUCCUCCCUCAUAAUAAUUUUCAGUAGAAUCAUGAAUGAAUUCAACAAUAUAACUAUCACAUAAAGUAUUACUUUCAUGAUCUACAAGCAUAGAAAUCUUAUUACUCUCCACAUAAGCAAAUUUCUUCUCCUCAUGAAUAGUAGUGGGAGCAAACUCAACAAAAUAACUAUCAUGUGAGGCAUAAUCCAAUUGAAAUUUAAAAUCAAGAUGACAAGUUUCAUGGUUAUCAUUAUUCUUUAUAGCAUACAUGUCAUCACAAUAAUCAUCAUAGAUAGCAACUUUGUUCUCAUAAUCAAUUGGAACCUCUUCCGAAAUAAUGGAUUCAUCACUAAAUAAAGUCAGGACCUCUCCAAGUCCACUUUCAUCCAUAUAAUCAUCAUAAAUAGGAGGCAUGCUAUCCUCAUAAUAUAUUUUCUCAUCAAAACUUGGGGGACUAAAAAUAUCAUAUUCAUCAAACAUAGCAUCCCCAAGCUUGUGGGUUUGCAUAUCAUUAGCAUCAUGGAUAUUCAAGGAAUUCAUACUAACAACAUUGCAAUCAUGCUCAUCAUUCAAAGAUUUAGUGCCAAACAUUUUAUAGACUUCUUCUUCUAACACUUUGGCACAAUUAUCGGAAUCCUUAUUUUCACGAAAUACAUUAAAAAGAUGAAGCAUAUGAGGCACACUCAAUUCCAUUUUUUUGUAGUUUUCUUUUUUAGACUAAACUAGUGAUAAAACAAGAAACAAAAAGAUUCAAUUGCUACAUCUAAAGAUAUACCUUCAAGCACUAACCUCCUCAGCAACAACGCCAGAAAAGAGCUUGAUGUCUACUACACAACCUUCUUCUUGUAGACGUUGUUGGGCCUCCAAGUGCAGAGGUUUGUAGGACAGUAGCAAAUUUCCAUCAAGUUGAUGACCUAAGGUUUAUCAAUCCAUGGGAGGCAUAGAAUGAAGAUGGUCUCUCUCAAACAACCCUGCAACCAAAUAACAAAGAGUCUGUUGUGUCCUCAACACACCCAAUAAUAUGGUAAAUUGUAUAGGUCCACUAGUUCGGCGAAGAGAUGGUGAUACAAGUGCAAUAUGGAUGGUAGAUAUAGGUUUUUGUAAUCUGAAAUUAUGAAAACAACAAGGUAGCAAGUGGUAAAAGUGAGCGAAAUAAGUAUUGCAAUGCUUCAAAACAAGGCCUAGGGUUCAUACUUUCACUAGUGCAAGUUCCCUACACAAUAAUAACAUAAUUGGAUCAUAUAACAAUCCCUCAACAUGCAACCAAGAGUCACUCAAAAGUCACUAAUAGAGGAGAACAAACGAAGAGAUUAUUGUAGGGGACGAAACCACCUCAAAGUUAUUCUUUCCGAUCAAUCCAUUGGGCUAUUCCUAUAAGUUUCACAAACAGCCCUCGAGUUCGUAGUAAAAUAACACCUUAAGACACACAUCAACCAAAACACUAAUGUCACCUAGAUACUCCAAUGUCACCUCAAGUAUCCGCGGGUAUGAUUAUACGAUAUGCAUCACACAAUCUCAGAUUCAUCUGUUCAACCAACACAAAGAACUUCAAAGAGUGCCCCAAAGUUUCUACCGGAGAGUCAAGACGAAAAUGUGUGCCAAUCCCUAUGCAUAGAUUCCCAAGGUCACAGAACCCGCAAGUUGAUCACCAAAACAUACAUCAAGUGAAUCAAUAGAAUACCCCAUUGUCACCACGUGUAUCCCACGCAAGACAUACAUCAAGUGUUCUCAAAUCCUUAAAGACUCAAUCCGAUAAGAUAACUUCAGAGGGAAAACUCAAUCCAUUACAAGAAGGUAGAGGCGGAGAAACAUCAUAGGAUCCAACUAUAAUAGCAAAGCUCACGAUACAUCAGGAUCGUGCGAAAUGAAGAACAAGAGAGAGAGAGAGAGAGAGAGAGAGAGAGAUCAAACACAUAGCUACUGGUACAUACCCUCAGCCCCGAGGGUGAACUACUCCCUUCUCGUCAUGGAGAGCAUCGAGAUGAUGAAGAUGACCACCGGUGAUGAUUCCCCCUCCGGUAGGGUGCCAUAACGGGGUUGUCGGUGUCAAAACCGGCGGAUCUCGGGUAGGGGGUCCCGAACUGUGCGUCUAGGCGGAUGGUAACAGGAGACGAGGGACACGAUGUUUUACCCAGGUUCGGGCCCUCUUGAUGGAGGUAAAACCCUACCUCCUGCUUGAUUAAUAUUGAUGAUGUGGGUUACAAGAGUAGAUCUACCACGAGAUCAAGGAGGCUAAACCCUAGAAGCUAGCCUAUGGUAUGAUUGUUGUUCGUCCUAUGGACUAGGGCCAUCCGGUUUAUAUAGACACCGGAGAGGGCUAGGGUUACACAGAGUCGGUUACAAAGGUAGGAGAUCUACAUAUCCGUAUCGCCAAGCUUGCCUUCCACGCCAAGGAAAGUCCCAUCCGGACACGGGACGAAGUCUUCAAUCUUGUAUCUUCAUAGUCUUGGAGUCCGGCCGAUGAUGAUAGUUCGGCUAUCCGGACACCCCCUAGUCCGGGACUCCCUCAGUAGCCCCUGAACCAGGCUUCAAUGACGACGAGUUCGGCGCGCAUAUUGUCUUCGGCAUUGCAAGGCGGGUUCCUCCUCCGAAUAAUUUAUAGAAGAUUGGGAACACCAGGAUAGUGUCCGGCUCUGCAAAAAUAAAUUCCACAUACCACCGUAGAGAGAAUAAUAUUACACAAGAUCAAUCUGUUCAUGUAUUCUGUGGCGUGACGUCACACCACUUCCAAGCCUUUACUCGAAUUGUUUUUAUUGUUCCACCUCAGCGCGUUUAGCGAGGCGGUUUCCUUGGCACGUCUUGUCGAAGCAGAGAUCGUGUUCCCCUUAUUCCGGGAUUCCCAUUAAUACGGACAUGGGUAACCCAAACGCGCCCGUUGCCACGCCCCCUCCAUCGAAGGCGGGUUCCAAACGUUCACGGGGACGGCUCUUGGUAUUCUUCCUCUUUAUAAUGAGACCAAGGCCCGUUCUUUUUAUUCAAUCCUCUAUCGAAUCCUCCCCUCUCCCUGAGUUCCAACACCUAGGGCUCCGAAUUCAGGUACCUUCGAUCUUUGACAAUGUCUGGUCCUGAUCUACGAGGCUGGUGGAUGCCCUCCUCCGUCACGGAGGAGGACAUGCUAAAGCUGAGAGAUGCCAGGUAUUUAACCUAUGAGAUUUUGCAUAGGCUGCCUUCCCGAGGGCAAGUUAUCCCAACUCCCGAGCCUGGCGAGAUCGUCGUGUUCGUGUCUCACUUCCGUCGGGGUUUAGGCUUCCCGACGGAUCCCUUCAUGAGGGGGCUCAUGUUUUACUAUGGGCUGGAAUUCCAUGACUUGGCUCCGGAGUCCAUCCUCCAUAUCUCAUCAUUCAUUGUCGUCUGUGAAGCCUUUCUCCGCACUACCCCUUACUUCGGCUUAUGGCUCAAAACCUUCAACAUGGAGCCGAAGAUGAUUGAGGGGCGUCAGGCAGAGUGCGGUGGGGCGGUUAUAAGCAAGAGGGCCGAAGCUCCAUGGCCCAAGGGCUCUUUCCAAGAGGAGCUCGGCUUGUGGCAACAGGAGUGAUUUUAUAUCACCGCUCCCCGGGGCAGCAGGCAGAAGCCGCCGCCCGUCUUUCGCUCGGGCCCUCCACAGCAGCUGACGUCAUGGGUCAACAAGGGGCGUGACUGGGGGCCGCCCAAAGACGUCCCCCUGCUGCAGGACCGGAUUCGAGGCCUCCAAGAAAGGGAGAUCAAUCUGGUCGCAGUGGUGCAGGUCAUGUUGAUCCGGCGCCUACUGCCCUACAAACGUCGCCCCCUUCGCCCAUGGGAAUUUAAUCCGGAGGGGCCACGAGCUCUUCAACACUUCAUGGGUUUGACUCCCAUGGAGAUGUAUAAACUGUUCUUCGGAUCACAAGAGACGCAUCCGGAAUUGACCGAGGACGCUGGCCUAAGCUGCAAUCGCCCGGAUACUCAAGUAAGUAGCCAUGUGUCCGGACACACCGUCCAUUUAUUUUUCGUGAGCUUGCCUUUUAACCAGCUAUCCCUGGACAGGAGUGGAUAGCGCAAGCAAAACUGAUACGGUGUCCGGCCCCCCUCCCUGAGACCAUGCAGGAUCCCAUGUUAAUCAAAAUCUUGGAGGUUGCACCUUCGAAUGAGGGCGAAGGGGGGCACGGGAAAACUGUCACCUCUGCCAAGGAGGCGUUUAGUAAGGGAGGAAUCGAGAGUCCCUCAUUCCAGGGGGAGAAGAGGAACGCUUCCGAAGACCCGGAGGCCAAGGCCUCAAAACGGGGAAAGAAAUCUGUACCGGAAGGUCCUGCGCCAGAAAGCGCCUCGGCCGUAUUGUCUCCUCGGAGGAAUCAGCCCUCUAACGAGCCAUAAGUGAAAAGGGGGAUUUUAUAAUUAUCAGUCACCCCUGCUUAAUGUCUAAAGGUAAUGAAGUUUUUACCUUGUAGUUCGGAUGUCAGCCUAUCUCAGCACAGCUCGUCUUCGGGAGACCUUCGUCCGGAGAUGAUGGAAAGCGAAACGCCUUCAUCUACCUCCCCAUCAUGCGGGGCGGACGACCCUGAGGUGUCAUCACGGAGGGUCUCCCCAAGUCCGGCGGUGGAGCUGCAGGAUUUGCUUAAGAGGGCGUCCAUCUCAGAAGAUCACCGCACAUUAAUGGGUGAUGUGAUUGAGAGGAUUUCGUCCGCCGAAACCGGGUUGUAUGAGGCCGUCGGAAUUUUACUGACGGGAUUUGAGGUACGCAAAAAAUGACAUACCUGUUGACAGUUUUGCACAUGAAGUGCGCCCUGUAUAGAUAGUAGCCCCUGAGACUUGGUAUGCUGUCGAAAGCGAUAGCGUGCUAAGGAUCGUAAUCUCAGUUAUAGAAUGCCUCCUUUCCUAUGCAGGUGGCGGAUCGUCCGGUGGCCAACCGGACUGAUGGAUUUGCCGAGCUGAGAAGGCAACUCGACGUUGCGGAUGCGGACAUCUCGCUGGUCAAUAAACGACUGGAUGAGUCACAAGGUACGUGGUUGCUCCGUGGUCGCCUAGUAAGGAGGCUGACGCCCGUGCCUUACAAUUUUUAUGCUUGAUGCAGAUGGCGCUACCACUAUGGAAGGCCUUCGAGCCAAACUUGCUUGGGCCAAGGAGCAAGCCAGAAAAAGCGAGGCGGCUGCCUCGAAGGCAGCGGAAGAGCUAGAAGCCGAGAAGGCUGCGCACUGCUGAAGCAGGGAGGAGAUGGCCGGAAUGGCCGCGAAAUUAAAAGUUGCUACCGACCGCCAGGAGGUUCUUGAAAGAGAACGUCGAGCGGAACAAGAGGAUCUGAAGAAGGCCGACGCCGAAGCCAAAGAUGCCCGUAGUGCGAUGCGGGCUAUGAAGGAGGAACUGCGUCAAAUCCGAGACAUUGUGGCUGGAAAGCCCUUUAUGCUGCGCAGGAAGUUCACGGAUCCGGAGUAUGCUCAGCUCGGCCGAUUGUAUGAUGCGGAGGAUCCUUAUCUGGACUUGGCAGCGAGUGCGGCAGACGCAGUCGUGCACUUCCGAAGCCAGAAGGGUCACGAAAUGGAAGAGCUUUUCUGGUCUCAAUUCCAUAGUCCGGAGCGUCAACUGCCGCUGAGUGAUCGGCUGGUUGAGUGGGCUGAGCUAAAUAGAUUGUCCGGACUUGCCAUGACGGAUGUGGUCACUCAUCUUUGGCCGGGAAGAUCCAAGCCGAAGAGUUAUUUUGGCUUGUUGCAGCAAUUCCUUGGGGCAGUGCCGCAUAUUAAGGCGAUGAAGUGGUCGGCAUGCAUAGAAGGUGCACGGAUGGCUCUCGCCCGUGGUAAAACAUACUAGGCGGAGAUGGAUGCCACCGCUGUUGCAUCCCGGGGUUCGGACAAAAGCCAAUUCCCCACCGAGCAUUACUCUGAGGAAGUCCUGCAGGGCGCUCGUAUAAUAGAGUCGCAGUGCUCGAAAGAUGUUAUGUUUGAAUGACAUGUAUGAUUUCUAAGAUCAUGUUUAUAAUGCAAUGACUUUUUAUACUUGUGUGUUCAAGUAUUGAACUAUCUCCUGUGCGGCCGUAUAUGUAUGUAUAAUCUGAAAGAUGGCAGUCUUUGGCUUCAGCCCCCACGCACAUGGUGCGGGGGUGUUUGCAAAAAGAAAAACACUUUUUCACACUUAAUCCAACGUCUUGGUCCUUUUAAGGAGGUGAUAGCAUAGCAAACUAGGCAACCGGACUAUAAUGCUUUAUCACUUUCACUUAGCCAUAGGAGCUCGAAUGUGGGGCUACUAUAUAGCCCCUGAUGGCACCGUGCUUCUCCGAACUCGGGGCGCGUAUGUGCCUGACCGGGAAGCGGUCCUUCGUCAAAGCGGAGGAAUUCUAAACAUUCCCAAUGGUCGAUCGAGUGGUUGACCAGUCUCUCGCUAUAUCAUGAUAGUCAGUUUUCGGCUUUCUCUACUGAGGUGCUCUCCCGGCUGAACCGGGGCACAAUCGCAGUAGUUCUCCUGGUGCCACGUUAGCCGAUGAUACGGAAUGUAAGGCAGCAAAACACAGGAGCCGGGCAAACCCAACAUUUGACCAAAGACAUGAUUCGGAGCUGAUGCAUAUAAGGCCUAACUCGAGACGCCGAACACUCCCUGAGGUGUUCGGUCUUUAUGAUAUUGGGCAGAAUAAAGCCCUAAGCCCCUAGUGUCCAAGUACAGGCGGGAACUUCUAACGCGGCCGAUGCCAAAAUGCCAGCCUCCUCCUCGGCUCUGGUAGGAAACCGGGGGAUGUGUAUCAACAAGAGACAGUGAGAAAGGUUUACGCAGGGUCUUAAUCUGAAAAGAAUCCUUGCAACAGGUCCCUACUGCACGUCUGCGCCUGUAUCUCCAUUGUGCUGUAUCCUGGACGGGUGUAGCAUGUGCUUCAUCUAUAAAAGAGAAGGACUUAGUUUCUAAGAAAUAUCGUGCAAAAAGUGUAUCAAAAUAAAGUAUAAUUUGGAAGAUGAAGAAAGUUAAGCUUUAUUGGCUUUCAUCAUUUAUGCGCGCGGCCCCCUAAAAAGGGUAUGCGGCUGGGAAGCCCCUUGCUAAGUUACCCUGGACUCGUCUAACCAUGUCCGAGGCCUAAAUGACCUGUUUUUAGGGGCUUUGACCUGCAAGGUCGAAAUAAUGUGUGGCUGUCGAGGCAGCCGCACAUUCUCCGUGGUCGAGAGACACCUGGAGUUUUAAGAAUAUGCCACGUGGACCGGGCAUUUUUAAGCGUAAGAGACGCGUAAUGUGGUAUUGCAUUAAAGCGGGCGAAAGCUGCACGCCCCAGUAGUGCUUAAGGGCUACUGCUAGAUGGGGUGAUGGAGGGUGAGCUUUUUCACGACGGAGGUUGUCGGAUGAACCAAACACGACCUCUAGUGGUACAGAGCCUGUAAAAUUGGCUAAAAAAGGCCUGGCAUCACUCCUUUGAAGGAAGUGCUUCUAUUGCGAAUUUUGGUGGGUUAUAUCCCCAGUAUGCGGACGGUGUCCUGGUAUAGCAGGGGCCGCGCUGCGUGUUAUCACGUGAAGUGAGUUCACUGUUUUGACUUCUAAUGGGAAAGUCUUUUGGUUUCCGGAGCGCUGCUUUUGGAUUUCGUCACUUUCACUUGGUGUGUCGAGCCCUUUGUGUUCGGCGUUAAGUCGGCCGGACUGCUUGAAGACCCAACAAUCUCUGUGGGUAUGGUUUGCAGGCUUCCCGGAGGUACCGUGUAUUUGACACAUUCUAUCCAGAAUCUUGUUUAGGUUGGAUAGCUCAUCACUGUUAUCCUUUAGGGGCAGUGUUUUGUUGUUCGGCCGAGAGCUUUUGAAUCCGGCGUUGACCGCCGUACUAUUUGGGCCAUUUUCCUUAUUCCGGCACUGAUCUUUUUUGCGUCGUGAUUUCCCAUUUCCAUCCCUGAUUUCGGAUGUACUCGGGUCGCUGGUGCUGCAUCUAGCCAACCAGCUGUCUUCCCCCACGCAAAAGCGGGUCAUGAGACUUGUUAGUGCGGCCGUUGUUCUUGGUUUUUACUGGCCGAGGUGUCUGGCGAGCCAUUCGUCUCGGACGUUGUGUUUAAAGGCUGCUAAGGCUUCAGCGUCCGGACAGUCGACUAUUUGGUUCUUUUUAGUGAGGAACCUAUUCCAGAAUUUGCGUGCUGAUUCUCCGAGCUGUUGAUUUAUGUGACUUAAAUCAUCUGCAUCCGAAGGCCGGACAUAAGCCCCUGAAAAUUCGCUCGAAACGCAUCCUCAAGCUCUUCCCAACUUCCGUUCGUAUUUUUUGGGAGGCUUUUAAGCCAAUGCCGGGCCGGCCCUUUGAGCUUGAGGGGUAGGUAUUUUAUGGCAUGGAGAUCGUCUCCUCUUGCCAUGUGUAUGUGUAGGAUAUAAUCCUCAAUCCAGACUCCGGGGUCUGUUGUUCCGUUGUAUGCCUCUAUGUUUAUGGGUUUAAAUCCCGCUGGAAAUUCAUGAUCCAGUACCUCGUCGGUGAAACAUAGUGGGUGUGCGGCGCCCCUGUAUUUGGGUGUGCCGUUGUUUUCAAAUGCUCGGCUGGUUGUGUUACUUCCUGGAGUCUUCUUUUUUGGCCCAUAGAUAGACCUGGCCGGGUUAUCCUUUUUCUGAGGAUCUUUAUGCUGAUCAUGUGCCGGCUUGUGUGUGGCGCCCUCUGUUGCUCUUGGCCUGUCAUCUGGUCGUCUAUCCGGUCAGGCGACCCCUUUCUUUUUUGACUGCGGGGGCUCGAAGGCCUCCUCGUCAAAUUCGGGCAGCAGCUUGCGCUUCGGGUAGCUCUUUGUCUGGUGACUAGUGCCAUAUUUAUCUGUGGUGUUGAGUACUUUGCUCCAUCUCAUUCUGAGUGCGUCUUCCGCUGUUUUGAGCUUCUGCUUUUGCUUCUUCAGACUUCUUGCAGUGGCGACGAGCCUUUUAUGAAGAUUCAUAUGCUCUGGUGAUGUGAGAUCAUUUUCGCCGGGGAUGAGUUGCUUGUCCGGUUCAUGUCCGGCUGGCUGCUUGUUGAUGUGUGCGUCGUCCACUGCUUCGCCCUGCUCUAGGGCCGGGUCCAUAUGGGUGCCAUUUUUGUCGAUGCCGGUCUUCGGGCGGCGCUUGCGUCGCCGCUUUGUUUGUUUGUUGGGGGAGUUGUCCUUCGCCACGUCCCUUUUUCCUCAUUGUCGCUUCCCUUUGGUGUGUCCACCAUGUAUACGUUGUGGGCUGGGGUGUCUUUCCUGCACCCGUUAGGCGCUGGUUCUUGGUCGUCUUCGAUAUCGUCGUCCAUACCGUCGAUGUCCUCGGAGUCGUAGUCUAGCAUGUCGGUUAAAUCAUCGACAGCGGCUACCAAGUGGGUGGUGGGUGGGCUUUGAAUUUCUUCGUCGUCCGCGUCCCAACCGUCCUGGCCGCAGUCCGGCCAGGGUUCUCCUGAUAACGAGAGAUAUUUUAGCGAACUCAAGAUGUCGCCAAAAGGUGAGUGUUGAAAGACGUCCGCUGCGGUGAACUCCAUGAUCGGCGCCCAAUCGGAUUCGAUCAGGGCGGGCACGGGAGGUUCGGAGUCCAGCGAGGAGUCCGACACCUUGGAGUCACGAUCUUUAUGAGGGACAAAGUCAGUGUUCGGCUCUAUCGCCGUAGAGGUUGCAGCCCCCGAGGCGGUGUCUAGGCAUCCAUCCUCGAUCUGUGCGGCCGGCUCCAAAUUGAGGAUCGGAGCGGGCUCGAGUGCGGCCUCUAGGGUAUUGUCCAGCGACAGAGCUAAAUCAUGCCCGACGUGACAGUGCGGCACGCUCGGCUGUGGCUCAAAUCCGUCGAAGAUCAAGUCCCCGCGGAUGUCAGCCGUGAAGUUCAAACUUCCAAAUCUGACCUGACGGCCAGGGGUGUAGCUUUCGAUCUGCUCUAGUUGGCCAAGCGAAUUGGCCCGCAGUGCAAAGCCGCUGAAUACGAAGAUCUGUCCGGGGAGGAAGGUCUCCCCGUGGACUGCGUCGUUGAUGAUGAUCGAAGAAGCCAUCACGCCUAUCGGUGACGACACAGAGGAACUCUCAAUGAAAGCACCAAUGUCGGUGUCAAAACCGGCAGAUCUCGGGUAGGGGGUCCCGAACUGUGCGUCUAGGCGGAUGGUAACAGGAGACGAGGGACACGAUGUUUUACCCAGGUUCGGGCCCUCUUGAUGGAGGUAAAACCCUACGUCCUGCUUGAUUAAUAUUGAUGAUGUGGGUUACAAGAGUAGAUCUACCACGAGAUCAAGGAGGCUAAACCCUAGAAGCUAGCCUAUGGUAUGAUUGUUGUUCGUUCUAUGGACUAGGGCCAUCCGGUUUAUAUAGACACCAGAGAGGGCUAGGGUUACACAGAGUCGGUUACAAAGGUAGGAGAUCUAAAUAUCUGUAUCGCCAAGCUUGCCUUCCAUGCCAAGGAAAGUCCCAUCCGGACAUGGGACGAAGUCUUCAAUCUUGUAUCUUCAUAGUCUUGGAGUCCGGCCGAUGAUGAUAGUUCGGCUAUCCGGACACCCCCUAGUCCGGAACUCCCUCAGGGGUCUACAUUGGUUUUUGGUGGCUACAGAGGCUUGCGGCGGCGGAACUCCCGAUCUAGGUUUAUUUCUGGGGGUUUCUGUAUUUAUAGGAAUUUUUGGCGUCGGUCUCACGUCAGGGGGUUUCCGAGUCAUCCACGAGAUAGGGGGGCGUGCCUAGGAGGGUAGGGCGCGCCCUCCACCCUCGUGGAUGGCUCAGGACUUUUCUGGCCCAACUCUUCUACUUCGGGGGCUUCUUUUGGUCCAUCAAAAAUCCACAAAAAUUGCCAGGUCAAUUGGACUCCAUUUGGUAUUCCUUUUCUGUAAAACUCAAAAACAAGGAAAAAACAGAAACUGGCACUAGGCUCUAGGUUAAUAGUUUAGUCCCAAAAAUCAUAUAAAAUAGCAUAUAAAACAUCCAAGAUGGAUAAUAUAGUAGCAUGGAACAAUCAAAAAUUAUAGAUAUGUUGGAGACGUAUCAAUGGACAUAUCUAAGUCCUCAGCUCAAGCCGGCAAUCGAGGGUACGUGUUGGCCUUUGUGACGUACGGAAUGACAUUUCUUGCACCUUGAGUGGACCACCUUCGCCCUCUAGGAUUUGAUCAAUGACGAUGUUACCCCUAUGUACCAUGCCAUGAUCUUGUCACCCGUCUCACUACUGUCAGCAUCUCUUUAGGCAACGGUGAGACCACCCUUGGGGAAGGUGCUUUUGUUGCAUCUCGGCGUUCAUUAUUGUAGCCUAGGUGAUGUUUUGUAGAUAUAGGGUUCCCUUCCGUUUCCAUUUUAACUUAUGUGGCAUUUGUGGUGAUCACCAUGUCUGGAUGAUGUCUUGUUGCCAUUGUAAUCUUGCUUGUUGCGUUCUAUUUGUUCAAUGAGCCCUUUCACUUUCUCGGUUUGCUCUUUGAACGUGUGUGGGCUGGGAAAAACGAUAAGUGCAAUGAUGUUCUUUGUCCAAGUGAUGAUUAACAGUGGGCCAGGUGGACCGAGAGGAGAAGGGGAUGAGUGGGGAGACAUGGGCAGUGGAGAGACGUGGUCCAACUGAUAGUGGGACGAGCGUAGCGUCCGGGCUUCCCCGGAACCCCUAGUUUAGGACAGUUUGUGGGAUUUCAAACACCCGUACCAGUUCAUGAACUUUUGAUGACUUGCGUUGAACAUUUCCGUGACCGACGUUGAGGAUGCCCUAAGCAUUGGUGGACUGGAAUGCCUAUCAUACAGUAAUGUUAAGCACAGGGUUAAUUUUGAUGGUACUUCUGUGUGGUUGGUGGCGUGGGGUGGGGGUGGGGGUGGGGGAAAGUGGUAAAGGUACAAGAGUACCUUUUGGUAUAGCUUCUCAAGGACCGUAGAUAAUAUUGAUGACAACAAUAAUUAUCUCCCAACCAAUCACAAAAGAAAAAAAGUUUCAAACUAAACUGAAGAAAAAUAUACCGGAGCAAGGGAUGCAUGACUGAACAUGCAAUGGAUGAAACUUCAGGGUUGAGGGUUAGAACUGACCGAAGAACAAUUCUGCCUACUUUCAAACUAGAGCAUCAUAUUUGCUUCUCUCUGGUCCUUCUUUCACCCCCUUCCCUCUCCCUGCUCCCUCCCGGGUCGCUUGCGCGAGCGGCCCCGGAGGCCCCAAAACCUAACCAAAAAAGCCCCCAAAUCGGGGUCUCCCCUGGCCGCUGCCACCAUCAACAGUGUCGGCCGCGCCAGGCCAUCGGAGGCGGCAGGUGGGUGGGCGCCCCCCGUCAGGCUCCCUUCACAAAAAGGUGAGACGACAAGCGGGCGGCACAGGGUGGCGUGGAGUUGCGGUGGUGCUGGUCUAGAUGCGCGGGGGAGGAGUUGUGGUGCACGAGGAGGCCCCGCCAGAGCUAUGGAGGUCCUGGAGCAGGCCGGCGCUGCACAACAUAGGCGCCUAGAGGAGAUCUGGUGGCGGCGGCGCGGGCUGAUCUGGGCCAGAUCUAGGCCCGAUCUAGGCUCUGCGGGCCACUCACGUGGAAGUGCCAUGGCUGGCCGCUUGAAACUGGAGUGCUUGCGUCGACAGCUACGGGCGAGGUUGGAGGACCCUCUGCUGUGCGGGAGGUGGAUGGUGGGCCAAGGCAGUGGUCUCGUGGCGUGCAGGAGGUGGAAGACGGUGUGCUCUCGGCCAUGCGGGUGUUGGUGGACCAUGACUUCAUGGCUACAUCUACGAGGUGUUGGGGCGGCGGUGGUGUGAGCCAAUUUGGACAAGGUUGUGCGAAUCGUGUGGCAGGGAUGGAGUUGUGCGACUAUACGAACAAAAGUCCUGCCUGUCUCCAGUCGAUGCAGGUGACGACGGUGCUUGUGGGUGUCGUUUUCCUCCUUGGAGGCGUCACCGAGUGUGGCGGCAUGUCCCUCGCUAUCACUUGGGGUUGGCAGUUGUCUCGAGGCGAAAGCCUUGGUUCGGAGUUGGAUCGGCGCGAUGGCGGCAUCUUCGACGUCGUUCCUCCGUUGGGGGCAUCAUGUUAGGAGACACUACCUGAGGUGCUAUGUGGCACACUUUCAGUGCUCGUCAUUGUCCAAGGAUGAGCUCAAGGAGCACUGUGUACGUCGUCGCCGGUGAGUCCAAGACGGUGCUUUCCUUGGACCGACCAAGUUCCGCCAUCUACUUGCCACCUCCUUUUAGGCAUCAAGGGUGGAUGGUGCGUUGACAAGGGACAUUCAAUUGGAGUUAGAGUUGUCUUCGGAGGUGAGCGGCGUCGGUCGAGACGCGGUGCUGUUGCUUAGCUUUGGAUAGGCACUUCGGUUUUGUAUUUGUGCUGUCUAUAGUGGUUGUCUUCGAACUAGCUUGGGUGUGGAGUUGUGCUACACUUGUUGUUCGCAGCAAACUGUAGCUCUUUUGUAUUUAAAAUUCUAUCUUUUAUAAAAAUAUAGUAUGCCUAGGCGUACUCUAAAAAAAUUGCUCCUCAGGAGUCGUGGUGUUAUGUUGCUUCGAUAGAUUGACUAGAUGGAGAAACUAUAUUGACCAUGACUCUCAUAUGAAACACACGCUUUAAUUUUUGAGGAACCACGGUGGGAAGGAUCCUCACUCUGAAAAUCACGCGCUUUGUGAACGUGUAUAUCGGUUACAAAAGCCACAAAGGUGGUCAAAUUUGAGUGGACCUGAUUACAUCUGCGCCGGCUUUCCAAAAGAGAGAGCAAUGGCAUCCGUUCUUUGCUAGCCGACCAAAAUCAACAGUUUUCAUAGCCCUCAAACAAAAACUCAACAGCUUUCGUGUGCGUCCAACUCUAAUCAUGGAUCCUCCGCCCGCAUCGUCAAGCGCAAAAUAUUGUUAAGAUAACCUCCUUCCCUCCCGGGAUGUAAGAGUUUUUUGACACUUGAGACGGAGGAGUAGCUUCUUCCUUUUUUUGCUUGUAGGAAUCAGAAUGUCGGCAGUGAGCAUGCAGGGUCUCAUAUUGGAAGAACCUUUUUUUGGAAGUCAUAUAUGAAGAACCUCGGGGCAUCUUCAACGUGACCCAUAAAUUUUCUCCCCCAUCUGUCCGUAGACAGGGAGGCAGUCCCAGUCGUGGUAGGCCGUCAUAUAUACAACACUGUCCGCAUACAUUUAAACAACUUUAUGAACCCACCGCACGAAAUUAGUGUAAACACGGUGGAUUUCAUAUAAAUCGGACGCCAUUCAUGCAAACUUGGCGGAUUUUCAAUACAUUUCAAACACUUAGAAAAAGACCUAUGGCAGUCGCCGGCAUCCAAGCGCUUGUUGUUCCCUUCCUGGGACUGUCUCCUCCAUCCGCCGUCUCCAUGUGCACCGGCGAUAAGACCGAUGGAGUGAAGUUGCGGUCUCCGGGAGGAAGAAUAGAACACGGGCGACAGACCAGCCCACAUGGGACGCAAGGCACUGCGGGCUCCCAUGCCCUACCAAUCUCGGAGGAGUCUGCGCUUUGUCCGUCGCUGGUGGUCGUGAGGUCAACGAUGGAAAUGGUGAUGCCCGCGCUGUCGUCGUCCCACCGGGCCGCUCCAUAGUUCGUCGGCAGCGCGUAGAAGGUGCAGCUGGCAUUGUUCACCUUCGCAAUCGCCUGCAGCUGCACCUCCGCAGCGGCCACUUCCUGGCAAGCAGCAUCUUGAGCACAGACGAUCUCGUAGAUCGCACGCUGCUCCAUGAUGAAGUUGGGAUUUGCUGCGGCCAUGGCCGCCACGGCCUCCUCGCUCGCCGUUGAUUUGGCCCUCCGCCAACCCUUGUUGCUCCAGGAGAAGCAAGUUGUGUCGUUGUUCCUCCUGUGCCUGCUGGAACACCGACAUAGGCGCCGACGCAGGCUGCACCUCCGUCAUGGCGUCGUUGUAGUGUGCCUGCGCCGCUCCAUGGUGAAACCGGCGUGAAUAGGUGCGGGCUCGGGUGCGUUGUCAUAUGGGCUCAUCGCCAUGGUGGGGUCGCCCUCAUCGUCAGAGCCUCGGGCGAGCUGGCCGGCAAGCCUGCCUUGAUCCGCCUGGCACGGCGGCACUGCCAGGUGGCCGCAAAGGCGGCCUCUUCAUGCUUCAUCUCUGUGGAAAGGCUCUCCCACAGAGCUUCACCACCUACAGUCAUGGCGGAUGCGAUGCAAGGAAAGAGGAUGUGGAGCGUCUUGUGUUGUGGCAUGGAGUUUGCCGGGUGUGGCCGCCUUUAAAAGGAUUUCAGUGAGGCCGAGCGUCCGGGGUGCACCAAUGCGAGGCGCCGGCUCGGCCAACGAACCUGCUUAAUGGUGGCUUAUGGACGGAUGGGGCGUUGAAGGGAUGUCGUAGAUAUCCAACCCGUCCAGUAACGCGUUUUCGACAUUGAACAUGCGAGAACACCAGGGACGCAUCGUGGGCGGCGUCCUUGGCCGGCGCGCUGCUUCAAUGGCGUAGCCAAUGAGAGGUCGCGUUCGCUCUUGGCCGACUUCAAUGUGAAGCGGCCGCUCUACGGUGACAUGAGGGAACACGCGCAGGCGAAGGAGGAUGAUUUUGGGUGGGCCAAAGUGGUCAGACGCGGGCGUGGCUGUUGUCCAUACGCUCACGAAGCCCCCACAUUUGUCUCCGAUUUACGGGAGAAAGUGCAUCCGAACCGUCCCGCGGACCGAUGUAGGAGCAUGUUGGAUGGCACAACACACCUGAACCACGUGGUUCGGACGGUUUGAGUGUCAGCAUUGAAGAUGCCCUAACUAGGAUUAUUGACUUAUUCACUCUAUAUCCGUACCGAAUUCUCAACCAAACAGCACAACGGGUAUAGUUUCUAGUUCAUUUAUUUAUUAAGGUGCACCCCUUUUUUUUGACGGGAAGGUGCACCCCUUUACGUGCCUAGAGGUAAGAGAAACUUUUAGUCCUGGCCGUCCGGCAGACAAGGGUAGCAUGGUACUUCGUAAAAUUUUAUUUCGCUGCUGCAUUNNNNNNNNNNNNNNNNNNNNNNNNNNNNNNNNNNNNNNNNNNNNNNNNNNNNNNNNNNNNNNNNNNNNNNNNNNNNNNNNNNNNNNNNNNNNNNNNNNNNNNNNNNNNNNNNNNNNNNNNNNNNNNNNNNNNNNNNNNNNNNNNNNNNNNNNNNNNNNNNNNNNNNNNNNNNNNNNNNNNNNNNNNNNNNNNNNNNNNNNNNNNNNNNNNNNNNNNNNNNNNNNNNNNNNNNNNNNNNNNNNNNNNNNNNNNNNNNNNNNNNNNNNNNNNNNNNNNNNNNNNNNNNNNNNNNNNNNNNNNNNNNNNNNNNNNNNNNNNNNNNNNNNNNNNNNNNNNNNNNNNNNNNNNNNNNNNNNNNNNNNNNNNNNNNNNNNNNNNNNNNNNNNNNGUUUACAGAUAAUCAAGAAAGUAAUAUGAUAUCACCAAUUAGAUUAUAAGAAAAUUGACAGUCUAUACCGAUUUGGAGCAUUGUAAAAUUUCACAUCGUUCUCAGACAGAUUUUGUGAGUGCACAUGUCUAUCGUGUACCGUAUAAUGGACAAGCGCCCACACACUUCAGUUGCAUUAUCUUUUAGAGAGAAGGCCACUUGACUCGAUUGAUUAGCAAGCCAAACAUCAUUUGCAUUUUAAUUUCAGCAACCUGAAACUAGCUAGCAUGGUCCCUAGUAUCAGCAUCAAAGGACCACUUAGCUAGUUGCACUAUUAAUAGAAGGAUACUGAGAAUCAAAUGCUUAGUUUGUACUUUGUACUUAUAAAAUUAUAUAUGGUGUGCUAAAUCGGAAAUACCUGAUGGAGCUGGAGCUCCUUGGAGCCCUUUAUUUGAAAAAAAAACAAAUUUUGAUAUAUUUUUUUAGUUCUGAAAAGUUCUGAAUAAAAUACACAUAUACAUAUGGAUGUAUACUACUUGUCUGUGAAGCUUCAUGAUGAAAUACUUUUUAUGCAAGCUACACAAAAAUGCAAAAUGUGCAUAUUUACAGCACAUGUACUAUUCACUAUGAAAUCACAUGAUUUUUUUUGUAGAGGCCACACAAAAAUUAUUUUGUCAUGAAAUUUCACACACGUUCAAUAAACAUCUAUAAGUACUUGUGUAUUUUUUUCUUCAUAUUUUUUUUUAGUUUAGACAGUUGAUUUUGGAAUGUUUGAAAAUCAAGGGCUCCACUGAGAGCAAAAAAAAAUCCUAUCAUGCUAAAUUUCUUGUAUAAUCUACUGAAACAAUAUAUAUAGUUCUAGUUGUCAGAACGACUUUGUGUUUAAUAGAAUAAAAGUUCAAAAAACAUUGCAGGUAAUAUACAGGGCGUCUGAAUGGAUCCGUACAUGGUCAUUACUACACCAUGGCCCAUGCGGAAGUGAGGGGCUUAUGGCUUUUGGUAGAAACCGAUGGGAGACAGUACGUAGCACGGGAUAUACACAAUUAGCUUGGAUGACGGUCCAAUAAUAUGAUAUGUAUAAAAGCAUUUUUCUUUAUUUGUGCCAGUUGUAGCAUUUUGUCAUGUAUUUUUCUUUUCUUUAUUUGUACUGGAGCUGCUCGUGAUACUUUGAUACUUGGUUCAUUUUAAUAAAUGAUUGUGUAUCUUUUGAUACAGAGACCGGGAAUAAUCCUUCUUUUCGAGAAAAAUAAUAUAGUUAUAGGUCAGAUUUCUCUUUGCUACAGGUUAUCUAGCAAUCUAUACACUUGCUCGUUUGUAGUUUAUUCUUCAGCGAUCUGAACACCGACAAUUGUUUCUAGCCAUGUGUACGCAGACGGAAUAGAAGGACAAGGAUGUCUUUGCCCAACAUGGUUGAAGCUUUUUCUGAGACCCCCCUCCCCCUCGCCUUAGUUAUUGUAGUCUCGAACAACCUUAUUUUGUCAGCGUUAUUUAGAAUGUGUGUUGUUGUGUGUGUAUCUUGGCCACGUAGAGAAUGGAUGUGAACUUGUUUUGAUUGUAUUCCAUUUAUGCAACAUUUGGAGUCAAAAAACGCACUUCUUCAAAAACUGUGUGGGUCAUAAUUAAAACACUAACUACUCAAGCGAAAAACCCUACAAACUUGAUCUAAAAUAGCUUAUUAUAUCUUAUUAUAAUCUACCUCAAUACUAUCGCAGUCUAAGACAUCUCGACCUUAUAUAAGCAAGCUAAAACACUUCACUGCUAGUUUUCACAAUUUGUAAAACAAAGUAUGUUGUAAUAGUAAAACAUGGUUCUAAGAGUCAAUUCGAUUGGAAAGUUAAACUUCAUGAGUUUCUAUUUUAUGGAUUUGAUGACCUAAGGCAUUGGUUGCAUCAUUUCUAGGAACUAAUCUUUUGAGGACUAUGGUACUCGCACAAACUAGUACAUCUCUACUCCUAUAAAAGACUCAGUUGGUGAUGAUGGUGUGUCUGCCAUCCAUCGUUUCUGACCAUUAGAUCUGCAUCUAACGACUGUGAGGUAAGUUGUGGCCUUUUUCAAACAACAGCCCACUUCUUCGCUCCAAUUUGCAGAAAACCCCUUAGUAUUUUGAAACCAACCACAUCCCUCCCUCACCUCAUCAAAACAGCCCAAGGAAUAUAUAUUUUGAGUGAAACAUAAUAUAUUUUUAGUGAUAUAUGUAUAUCAAAACUAGAGUGCUUUCUUUUCAAUUUACGAAUAAGUAUUAUUCUACUUUGGAUCCGUUGCAACGCACGGGCACAUUGCUAGUUAUUGGAUUAUACUUAUAUGAAAUGAGGUAAGGUGACUAACACUAUUUGACUGUAUGUGCAAUUGCAUACUUCUCUAAAGUUACACCACCUCUGUAAGAUGAAUAUUCUAUUAGUGCAUUCAUUACUAAAAGUACAAUAAUGUUAGUACGUUCGAUUAAUAACUAUUUGCUUACAUUUCAGUUCAUUUGUCUUGGUUUAUUGGCUCCCUUUGUAAUUUGUGCCAAAUUUUCACCAAAUAUUUAACUAACAAAAUGUUAAUGCAUGUCAGCAAAAAUUAUAUCAUUUGAUUCGUAUUUGAACAUGAUUUACAAUGAUAUAAAUUUUGGUAACAUGCAUGAAUAUUUUGUUAGUUAAAUAUUCGGUCAAAAUUUGGCACAUACUACAAAGGGGGCCAAUAAACCAGGACGGAGGUAGUAAUACGAGAAGGUUGUUAAAUUAAUUCAGUUUUUGUACAAUAUGUUUAUCUAUCUUUAUGUCUAAACACUACAAGGAAAAUAGAUAUAGCAUAUAAACUUUAGAAAAAGUCCAUUUUACUACCCUGAAUAAAGUGGGUGGUUCACUUUACCCCCUGAUCUAUUUUUCCGCUUCUUUUACCCCCAAACAAAUCCAAACCGGACAAAACACCCCCUGGCUGGUUUUUCUCCACCCGCUGCUGAUGUGGCACUAGUCAACGGCGGUUUUGACCUGGGUGGGGCCCCCUUGUCAGUGUUCUCUCUUUCUCUCUCUCUCUCUCNNNNNNNNNNNNNNNNNNNNNNNNNNNNNNNNNNNNNNNNNNNNNNNNNNNNNNNNNNNNNNNNNNNNNNNNNNNNNNNNNNNNNNNNNNNNNNNNNNNNNNNNNNNNNNNNNNNNNNNNNNNNNNNNNNNNNNNNNNNNNNNNNNNNNNNNNNNNNNNNNNNNNNNNNNNNNNNNNNNNNNNNNNNNNNNNNNNNNNNNNNNNNNNNNNNNNNNNNNNNNNNNNNNNNNNNNNNNNNNNNNNNNNNNNNNNNNNNNNNNNNNNNNNNNNNNNNNNNNNNNNNNNNNNNNNNNNNNNNNNNNNNNNNNNNNNNNNNNNNNNNNNNNNNNNNNNNNNNNNNNNNNNNNNNNNNNNNNNNNNNNNNNNNNNNNNNNNNNNNNNNNNNNNNNNNNNNNNNNNNNNNNNNUGCUGCCGCGCCGUUGCGCCCCGUCUGCGCGCUCGCCUAGCCCGCGACGUCGCUGACCGCAGCCGCCUGCCCACAUCGGUCGGUGCCCAGCCGCCCCUUCCCCUCCCACGCCGACGCCGGGCCGUGCCCGAACCCCCGCGGCUGCCCACUCCUCGCCGCGCCGCUCAGAUCGCCCGCCGUCCGUCCUGCCCCGCAGCCCCUCGCCGCCCCUACCGCAUCCCCGUGGCCGCUGCGCUCGGCCGUGCCUCCACGCGCGCUCGUCUGCGUGCUUGCCCGCGCAUGGCCGCGCCGCGCCCGGCCACUUCCCUGUCGCCAUAGGCGUGGCGACGCCUACAGCCUCCGCUCGCUUUAGGCGCUCUGCCUGUCCCUUCGGUUGGUGUGAGAGAGAGAGAGAGAGAGAGAGAGAGAGAGAGAGAAACCUGACAAGGGGGCCCCACCCAGGUCAAAACCGCCAUUGACUAGUGCCACAUCAGCAGCUGGUGGAGAAAAACCAGCCGGGGGGGGGGUGUUUUGUCCGGUUUGGGUUUGUUUGGGGGGUAAAAGAAGCGGAAAAAUAGAUUAGGGGGUAAAGUGAACCACCCACUUUAUUCAGGGUAGUAAAAUGGACUUUUUUCUAAACUUUAUUAUCUAUUCCUGUAAGACAUCUCAUUUGGAAAAUUCGAUGAACUAAGGGUCUGAAGAGUCCUCCGAGUUGAAAGGUAUCAUUUGGUUCGCACUUCUCUGGCGGCGCUGGAAACCUUUUUUUUCUAGAAAGCCAAUCAUUAAUUUUAUGUGGCAUAUGUGUGAUUGGACAGCUUGCAUACGCCAAGGCAGUCAUGUCUUCCUGCCUAUAUAAAGCACCCCAUUACCAACCUUACAACUCAGGCUAAGAGUUUCAACCAACUUAGAGAGCUCUCCUCUCCAGACCUCUCCCUUCUCUCCACCAGGAGUUUAGGGUUAGAG
RNAcentral lists this long non-coding RNA (79105 nucleotides) under Triticum aestivum (bread wheat). RNAcentral describes it as "long non-coding RNA (TAES_LNC012661)". The stretch from base 25318 to 25386 matches the Rfam family "tRNA". The record is from RNAcentral. Lineage: Eukaryota; Viridiplantae; Streptophyta; Magnoliopsida; Poales; Poaceae.